ACAAAGGAUCAAAUAUCAUACGUAAUAUCUUUUGACCGCAUCAACAUUGAUAGCCAUUUCUACCAUUUUGCCUUCAAUAUCUGUCAAAUAUAAGGCUCCAUUGGGCAACACUUUCUUCAUAACGAAGGGACCUUGCCAGUUGGGGAGAACUUGCCUUUCGCUUCAACCUGGUGAUGAAGGAUACAUCUCAAUACCAACUGACCAAGUUCAAAAUUUCUGGGAUGGACCUUUUUGUUAUACGCUCGAGCCAUCCUUCUCUGAUACAACUGGCCGUGACACACAGACGUUAGCUUUUUUUCCUCAAUCAAACUCAAAUGUUCCAGUCGAGUUUUUUCCCAUUCGUCAUCAUCAAUCUCUACUUCUAUAAUGACUCGAAGAGAGGGAAUUUCAACUUCUGCAGGGAUGACCGCUUCUGUCCCAUACACUAAUAAAUAUGGAGUUGCCCCUGUUGAAGUGCGAACGGUGGUGCGAUAACCUAGCAAUGCAAAUGACAACUUUUCAUGCCACUGUCUAGACCCUUGUACCAUUUUUUGCAGUAUCUUUUUUCUAUUCUUAUUGACGGCUUCUACAGCACCAUUGGCCUUUAGGCGAUACGGAGUAGAAUUUCGAUGUGCAAUCUUAAAUUGUUGACAUACUUCUUGCAUUAAAUGACUAUUGAGAUUGGUAGCAUUGUCUGUAAUGAUCAUCUUAGGAAUUUUAAAUCUACAAAUGAUAUUGGCAUGAACAAAUUCUACCACAGCCUUCUUUGUCACUGACUUGAAAGUUACUGCUUCUACCCACUUUGUGAAGUAGUCAAUGGCUACCAAAAUGAAUCUAUGUCUAAUUGAUGCCUUCGGGUCAAUCGGUCCAAUCACAUCCAUCCCCUAAGCCACGAAUGGCCAUGGAACGGCCAUUGCAUGCAAUUCAACAGGAGGAGAACAUAUCAGAUCACCGUGUACCUGACAUUGAUGACACUUUCGAACAAAUUGAAUAGAAUUCCUUUCCAUAGUAAGCUAGUAAUAACCUGCUCGAAGAAUCUUCUUUGACAAGACAUGACUGUUCAUAUGCGACCCGCAUACUUCAGAGUGUAUUUCAACCAUGAUUGCCGAGGCUUCUUUUGCAUCUACACACCUUAAAAGUCCGAGAUCUGGGGUCCUCUUAUACAAGAUUCCCCCACUUAAGAAAAUUCCACUAGCCAAAUGCCUGAUAGUCCUCUUUUGAUCGUUGGUGGCGUAUGCUGGGUAUUCUCCUGACUGAAUGUACCGCUUGAUAUCCAAGAACCAGGGUUCUCCAUUGAGCUCUUCUUCAACUGCAUUACAGUAAGCAUGCUGAUCACGACUCUGUAUAUGCACUGGAUCGAUGUAGGCUUUAUCAGGAUGUUGGAGCAUUGAAGAUAGAGUGGCUAAGGCAUCAGCAAUUUCAUUAUGAAUCCUUGGAAUAUGCCUAAAUUUUAUUAACACAAAUCGUUGACGUAGCUCCUGCAAGCAUUGUCGAUACGGGAUGAGCUUCAAAUCUCGCGUCUCCCAAUCGCCUUAAAUUUGAUGGAUGAGCAAAUCCGAAUCUCCCAACACUAAUAAUUCCUGGACUCCCAUAUCAACAGCUAACCUCAAACCAAGAAUGCAGGCUUCAUACUCUGCCAUAUUGUUAGUACAGUAGAAUCGAAGUUGUGCUGUUACCGGGAAAUGUUGUCCCAAUUUAGAGAUAAGAACUGCACCUAUUCUGACUCCUUUCAUGUUGACAGCUCCAUCAAAAAAUAACCUUCAACCAGGAUCAGCAUCUGUAACGACUUCAUCGACACACGACACUUCUUCGUCAGGAAAAUAUGUCUUUAAUGGCUCGUACUCUUCAUAGAUAGGGUUCUCAGCAAGAGGAUCUGCCAAGGCUUGGGCUUUCAUGGCAGUUUGAGUCACAUAUACAAUGUCGAACUCGGUAAGCAAUAUUCGUCAUUUUGCCAAUCGACCCGUCGGCAUAGGCUUCUGAAAGAUAUACUUCAAAGAAUCCAUGCGGGAGAUGAGAUAAGUAGUAUAGGAUGAGAGUUAAUGCUUCAACUUCUGUGCUACCCAAGUUAGGGCACAACACGUCCUUUUAAGAAGAGUAUACCUGGUCUCAUAAAUGGUAAACUUCUUGCAAAGAUAAUAAAUAGCCUGCUCCUUUUUGCCUGUGACAUCAUGUUGACCCAGGACACAACCGAAAGAAUUAUCCAUGGCUGAUAAAUAUAAGAUCAAAGGCCUACCAGGCUCCGGGGGUACCAGCACAGGUGGAUUUAACAAAUAUCUCUUGAUUCGAUCAAAUGUUUCCUGACAUUCUUCAGUCCAUUUUACCGCAACACUCUUUUUCAGCAACUUGAAUAUGGGCUCACAGGUGGUUGUGAGUUGAGCAAUAAACCUGCUAAUGUAGUUCAAUCUACCAAGAAAACUCAUCACCUCCGUUCUAUUCUUGGGCGGGGGCAAAUCCUGAAUGGCUUUGAUUUUCGAGGGAUUCAAUUCAAUUCUCCGACAGCUAACUACAAACCCCAACAGCUUUCUAGAUGGAACUCCAAAUACACAUUUCACCGAGUUGAGUUUGAGAUUAUACCUGCGAAGCCUUUCAAAGAACUUUCUUAAAUCUUUAACAUGGUCGGCCUGACUUUUUGACUUAAUAAUCACAUCAUCUACGUAGACCAUAAUCUCUUUAUGUAUCAUGUCAUGAAACAUAGUGGUCAUGGCUCUCAUAUAUGUUGCUCCAGUAUUCUUCAAACCGAACGGCAUCACUCGAUAAUAAUAAGUUCCCCAUGGUGUGAUAAAAGACGUCUUCUCUGCGUUGUCGUCAUCCAUAAUGAUCUAGUGAUAUCCGGCAUAGCAAUCCACAAAAGAGGCGACCUCGUGUUUAGCACAGUUGUCUAACAAAAUGUGAAUGUUGGGCAGUGGAAAAUCAUCUUUCGGACUUGCUCUGUUCAAAUCACGGUAAUCAACACACACUCGAAUUUUGCCAUCUUUCUUUGGUAUGGGAACAACAUUGGAUAACCUUUCCUCUUUAAUUUUAAUACUUACAUCUGUUUUAAACUUCCUCAACUUCUGUUUGACGGGAGGGAACGCGGGAUCUGUUGAGCCACUAACUCAGUGCUUAAACCAGGCAUAUCAUCAUAAGACCAUGCAAAAACAUCUGUAUAAUCCAUUAAUACUUGAAUCAUUUCAUCUUUUAGCUGUGGCAAAACAUGUACACUGGUUUUAGUUUCCCUAACAUCUUCUUGAUCCCCUAGAUUUAUCGGCUCAGUCUCAUUCAAAUUAGGAUUUGAUUUGUCUUCAAAUUGUUCCAACUCUUUGCUUAUUUCUUCUAGUUCUUCUUUUUCAUCAUAUUCCCCAUCCUGCUCCAUUACAUCUAUAUUAGUUUAGAUUUUAAGAUUAGGCUGAAAAUUCUGCAUGCAUGUCAUAUCAUUAGAAUCAGCAUAAAGAAAACUGUGUAAGAAAAGAAAAACAAAAUAUAUUACACACGAAACAAAAGGGACAUUGCAUUUCAUUAAAUAAAAAAAUAGAAGGGUUUAAACACAGAUGCCAAGAUAACAUGAACAAACUAAAAUCCGAAUUACAACCCUGAAAUAACUCGGAUAAACAGAAAGAAAAAUAAAACAAACUACCAAAACUCCCUACUGACGGGGAGAGGAGUGACUUCCCAAUUAUUGAGCCGGACAGCUGGACCUAUGAAUUGCACGUCUGCCAUACCGGUACCUUCUCCUGCUUCGACCAUAUCAACUUCAAUACAAAGAUUCUGGAAGUCAUCAACCAAUUCAACCUCAAGUCCCACAUGCUUCGUGACACCCCUCUUAACAAAUAAUUCACUGAUUAGUGGCAUUGGGCGAGGGAGUGACCAUAUUUUCUUUUUUCUUCCCUUGGCUUUCUUCAGAUCUUCAGCUGUAGGCUCAAAUCCCAGACCAAACGUGUCCGCGUUCUCACUCGGACAUAUGGGAUGAACUAUACCGUGCAGAGAUGCUCCCAAACCUUUUCCUGGCUCAAAACCGUAUUUCCACAGUUCGCUCACCAUCAUGAUAGAAGCAGAAGACAAUUGCGGUCCCGGUAUANNNNNNNNNNNNNNNNNNNNNNNNNNNNNNNNNNNNNNNNNNNNNNNNNNNNNNNNUCUACGUUAUUUGCUUCAAUAAGAGACAAGGGAGAAUCUUCGUAGGCUGACAAAUCUCCUUCACCAUGAAUAACUACUUCUUGUCUGUCAUGCUCAAACUUAAUCAUUUGAUGCAGUGUAGAUGCAUCCGCCUUGGCCUUGUGGAUCCACGGCCUGCCCAACAAUACUUGAAACUCUAUCGCGAACUCAACAGGCCCUAUGGUCAACAUUAGUUCUAUUUCACCAAUGGAAUUUGAUUUUGCACCAUCGAAAGCCCUAACACAUACAUUGUUGGGCCUGAUCCUGUCAGCACCAAUAUUCAAGUUUUGAAAAGUAGAAAUAGGGCAAAUAUCUGCACCUGAACCUCCAUCAAUCAUAACAUGAGUGACGUAGAAAUCCUCACACUUCACUAUAAUGUAAAGGCCCCAAUUAUGCCCUGUACCUUCAACAGGCAAUUCAUCGUCAGAAAAGCUGAUCCGAUUGACCUCAAAGAUUUUUCCAACCAUUUUCUCAAGUUGGUUGAUUGUAAUCUCCCUUGGAACAUAUGAUUCAUUUAAUACCUUCAGUAAAACAUCACGAUGCUCCUUGAAGUGCAACAGCAAAGAUAAAAGGGAAAUUUGAGCAGGGGUUUUCUUCAACUGGUCUAAUAUUGAAUACUCUGGCAAUUUCAUCUUUUUCAAAAAUUCUUCUGCUUCUUCUUUAGUGAUAGGCUUUUUGAUAGACGAAGGUCCACUCACCGUUGGCUUGGACUUUCUUAAGCUUUCAGGCACGAAGCAUCUUCCUGACCUAGUCAAACCUCCUACCUUAUCUAUAUCUUCCACAACUUCUUUGUCGUGAUAGGACAUCACAGUCCGCCUAUAAUUCCAGGGAAUCCUUUUCGUAUCAACUAUCGGAGGUUGGGUCACCCGUUUAAGGACAAUAGGCGCUACCAGUGCUCCUUUCACCGUCAAGAUGGGUUGACUCAGAGCUCCCACUACUGUCAACUUGGGAUUAUCCUGACUUGAAUCAACAUGCCUUCUGGCUCCUUGUACUGUGAUCAGGGGUUUUUUGGUGCUUUCUUGGGCUUUAUCUUCUCUUAUUCCUUCCCAGUUCAAUGACAUUGCUUUCAAAGAUUCUGCUACAUUCACCGAUUUCUCUUCAGUGGUCUGUAUCUGGACAAUAGGCUUAUAGUCCCUCGAAGACUCUUUCCCGUCAUAUAUCACAAUUCUAGCAUAUUGGCUUCAGCAUGGGUUGGCAGCGGAUUUUGGUUAAUGUUUAGACCUUCUGGGGCCUGGACCAGCAUCUGAUUUGUGUUAAUUAAAUCUUGGACAUCUCUCUUUAAAUACCAACAUUUCUCGAUAUCGUGGCCUGACAUAUCAGAACAGUACGCAUACCUUAAAGAAUAAUCGAGAUUCCUCGACGGUAGAUUUGAAAGCCUUCCUUGAAUUGGGCUUAAAACCUUCAACUUUCUCAACCUAUCAAACAAGCUAGCAUAUGACUCCCCAAGAGGUGUGAAUUGAUUUUUGACCGCCUUCUCCUUCUUAUACUCGAUCCUAGGCUGAAAAUUGGGUCUGGAGGGGUUUUGGUAAUUUGGUGGGGCGAAUGGGCAAUUUUGUGGAGCUUGUGCGCACCAUUACGGGAAAGAAGAGGUUUGGGCAUAUGGUUGCGCACUAUAUACUGGGUUCCUCUUUUUUCUUUCUACCUCCAAAUGCGCCAGAUCUACCUUGAAUCUUUUGUGUGGUGGCUUUUAAUGCGGCAAAACUCACUAUUCGGCCGGUCUUAAUUCCAUCCUCUAUCAUCUCCCCCAAUUUGAGUACUCCAUAAAAGACUUUCCCAUUGCCGGAAGUAACUGUUGAAAAUAGGUCUCAUCCUGUGCCUGAAUGAAAACUUCUACCAAAUUACUUUCUGUCAUUGGAGGCUUUACCCUGGCGGCCUGUUCACGCCAACUUAUCGCGUAUUCUCUAAAACCUUCAGUGCUCUUUUUUUUCAUGUUGAUCAAGGAUUUUUUGUCUGGAAUCAGGUCAAAGUUGUACUGAAAAUAUUGAACAAAUUCAUAAGCCAAGUCAUCCCAGCUGUUCCAUUUAUCGAUAUCUCGAUAGAUAAACCAUUCCGAGGCCAGAUCAGAAAGACUCUCGCCAAAGAAAGCCAUGAGCAGUUCUUCCUUUCCUCCUGCAGCCCUCAACUGGUUGCAAUAACGUCUCAAGUAUGCAACGGAAUCACCGUGUCCUGCAUACUUCUCGAACUUAGGCAUCUUAAAACCGAGGGGAAGGUUGAUGUCUGGGAACAUGCAAAGAUCUUUAUAGGAAACACUCCUAUAAUCUCUGAUUCCUUGCAAAUUCCUCAUAGCCUGUUCUAAACUUUUCAAUUUCCGGGCUAUGAUAUCCUGUUCCUCCAUUGCGACAGGUUUCUCUGUAUCAAAUGGAAAUGCAGGCGGUUGAGUGUAUCCAUACGGUUUAUUCAUUUGCAAAGUAGGCUCCGGGGCAUAAUACUGACCAUCUGAAACCUUCAGUACUGGCUCACUGGCGGACCUAGGAAGCUUCAUUGUGGGACGCACAACAUAUAUGAGAGUUUCAUGUGGUGGCGGAUCCACGAAUACCGGUGUGAUCGGUGGCGCUGGCUGAGCAGCGGGUCUCAAUUGGGGAGCUGCCAAGGGCACACUAGAACUUCCAGGAUAAUAAUGUCGCAGAGUGAAUCUCGGCACGUGGUCGGGUGACUCAGUAGGAGCGGAGAAUUUCGCAUGAGGGAGCGGUGGGCAAUUAGAGAUAUUUCCAAGACCUUCAGGGAGCAGAGGAGGAGGCAUUUCGCUGGCCCAUGCCUGGUGUAAAUCUAUCAAUUGUGCUGAGCCUUACCACCUCAUCAUUGUGUUCAGAACUUUCUUCCCUGUGAUCCUGAUCUGGGUCAAUGAGUAAAUUUUCAAUUUCCCUGCUAGCCAUGGCGAACUUUGCUUUGGAUCUGGUGAAGUAUGGGUGACUAGCCAGAGUGCUGCAAACCUACCACUGUUUAUCUGAAAGAACAUGCUCAUCAAAGACGACAUCCGUUAGGAUUAGGGCACACAACAAACAUGGGAAUCACAUUUGACAAAAUUGUCCUAAAUUCAUGUUCAUUUCUACCAGCUUUUGAGGGGAUCGAGGUCAUUUUAAUAUCAUCCUGAUUUUUGUCUACACUUAUUUUCUACACUUAUUAUUAUUAUUAUUAUUUCGUAUCUAUCUCCAUUCUCUUCUUUUCUCUCGUUAUCUACCUUUAUUUUAUCAUUCUUUAUGACUUUUGUUUUUCUUUAAAAGAGAAAAAAUAAUGAAAAACAACAAAACAAAAUGAUUAGAUCGAACCCAAAAGUAGGUUGCCUACGUAUCAUGUUGUACAUGAAUCAAAUGUUGCGUAGUUUGGGCGGCAUGUGCAUAAAUAUCACUCAAUUUUUUUCUUUAUGAAAACAAAACGAAAAUACAUAAACAAAGGAAAGACGUAACAUCAUAACCUUGUGAAGAAAGAAAACAACAAAACAUAUAAAAAGUUUGGGACCACUGUAAAAUUAAAAAAACGACUACGAACAACACUAUAGACCCCUAAGACGAUACAGGUGAAAUUACUAAUAAAGACUCUAAUACCCAAAACAACUUGACUUCGACUUAAAACCUACACCACCCUACAAUGACAGACACAUAAAAGACUCAAACUGAAUAAAGAUAAGAAGUGCUCUUUCAGACUGGUGCUUUGCGUGAUGACCCUGGCUAAUAUGGACCUGCCUUUGAAGUUCUCUUUCUCCCAUUUAAACUUUGUAGCAUAUCAUGUAAAGACACCCUGAUAUCGGGGAAGAAGCUUUGGGCCCGUAGUCCUGCUUCAUGAGGAGUGCACUUGGAAAGAUUAUUCUGACACCUUUCUACUAUCUUGAACAAAUCUGCUAGCUGAAUCCUCAGUGUUUCCACUUUGGACCGUACACUUUCAUCUUGAUGAUCGUUUACUAUGCAUUCUUCCUGUAUUCUCCCUCUAAGUUGCGCUGGUAAGGGUUGACUGAUACCCCGAGGGACAGAUUGAAGCCAGACCUUAUAUCCCUGAGUGUGGCCCAGAUUAUCCAAACUUUCUUUGAAUGUGUCCACACCUAGCUUUAUUGCAUGCUUCCAAAACUGCUCAUACCUGCUCUCACCUAAGGCUUGGUCCUUGAAGUAUUCAACAUCCUUCAGAAGAUCCACUGCCGGUGGCACGUCCUGUGGCCUACCUAACUGGAGCAUUACCCUAGAAGGAUUGUAUGGUCUAGUACAAUUGAUCCCUAACAUAACUAAAGGGAACUGCGUCUGACAACCCAACAAGAUUAUCUUCGAUCGAAGCCACAGAUAGGUCCACAAAAUGUUAUCCUCGGUUCUUGAUUCAAGCAAUUCAAUCCAAGCCUCGACUCCCACAGGUAGCGAGAAUUUGUCCAAACGCAACCUGGAAUCCAUGACUUUCACUCGAUUGGGAAUAUAACGAUCUAACACGUCUGGUCUAACUAAAGAAGGUGCAUGCAAGUGCUCCAUCAUCCAUAACUGCAAUAUCAGGUUACUGCCCUCGAAAAAUCUCCUUCCCCCCUUCACUUAGGUUAAAGCCUUAUAUAUUUCUGUUAAGAUCAUGGGUAUGAGANNNNNNNNNNNNNNNNNNNNNNNNNNNNNNNNNNNNNNNNNNNNNNNNNNNNNNNNNNNNNNNNNNNNNNNNNNNNNNNNNNNNNNNNNNNNNNNNNNNNNNNNNNNNNNNNNNNNNNNNNNNNNNNNNNNNNNNNNNNNNNNNNNNNNNNNNNNNNNNNNNNNNNNNNNNNNNNNNNNNNNNNNNNNNNNNNNNNNNNNNNNNNNNNNNNNNNNNNNNNNNNNNNNNNNNNNNNNNNNNNNNNNNNNNNNNNNNNNNNNNNNNNNNNNNNNNNNNNNNNNNNNNNNNNNNNNNNNNNNCAAAGCGAGGGUGAAGACUUCAAGACGCUUUCUCUCCCACUUCUCGUUAGUCACAUGAAAUUCAUUCCAAAAGCAAUCAAAACCUUCCGAGGGCCCAAAUCUAGCGAACAAAAAGUCUAAGGAAACCCACGAAUCACUUAAACAACCCAAAUGCAUACCCUUACUUUUAAAACCACAAGACUGCAAAAAUCUAACGCCAGUAUGAUUUCGUGCUCGGAUCAUAUCCUUCUAGAUAUAGGGCAAAUGCAACAAACCGGAUAUUUCUGCCAAAGUAGGAAUCACUUCACAUUCCCCAAACCUGAAUACCAAACUACUCGGAUCCCAAAAGGUCAACAAGGCCUCUAUUAAAUCUGGACGAGGGGUAACAUGCAGAAGUUCCGUAAGAACACCUAAUAUUUUAAUCAGUUUCUGCUGAUCAACAUAGUUAAACAUUUCUCACCAUUUGAUUAACUUUUUGGGCAUCUUGACAACCAUCAGGACUCUAGACUUGGUGGACAAAUCCAUCCUGUAAUAACACACAAGACGUUACCUCAAAAAUUCGAUAGGAGUAGAAGAUUCCUAACCCUUGGGAUUUUUGACGCCAACAUAUGUCGAUGGGACAGACCACAUUCAUGACUCCAAUUUGCCGAAUAGAAGUACUGAGCAAAAUCAGUCUACUUGGCAAACAACUCUAGAUUACGGGACGAGAGACCUAGACUAACACUAAGACCAAGGCCGACACAAAAAUUACCAAACCCGCUGAGGGUUGCCUACGUAUCCCAAUCCGAGGGAAGGGAAUCAGGUAUGCGUAGUUCAUUCAGAUUGGACAGUUAACGAUUAACUAAUAAAUUGGCCCUAACUUAAGAGACACAAUCAAAACAAACGAAUAAAAACUAUUUGGAUUUUCAACUAGACACUUUAACCGAGACUGACACCACCAAUUAUAUAGAAAAAUCUUUUUGGAUUUUUUUUUUACAAUUAAGUAGAGAAAGCAAACAAGACUCCUUUUUCCUUUUCUCUUCAUUUUUCUUUUUUUGAAUUUACGGUACUUUACAAAACAUAAAAUUUUUUUUUUUGAGUUUUUGGAUUGUGAAAAACAAAAGCCAUAACGAAUUCUAAAAUAAACUACGACAUUCCUCUUCUUUUUUUUUCAUUCUUUUCGCCUCACUUUUUCUAUUUUUCAUUAUUUUUUUUUCGUUUUUACCUACGCACCUUACUCCUAAAUUUUUUUUUUCAAAAAUCAGUCCGUCAAAUGACCACGUUACCCUUAAAAAUGCAACAGUUAGCACGUAAGGAUGCUUUAGAGGUGAGUCUCCUACAAAGGGCNNNNNNNNNNNNNNNNNNNNNNNNNNNNNNNNNNNNNNNNNNNNNNNNNNNNNNNNNNNNNNNNNNNNNNNNNNNNNNNNNNNNNNNNNNNNNNNNNNNNNNNNNNNNNNNNNNNNNNNNNNNNNNNNNNNNNNNNNNNNNNNNNNNNNNNNNNNNNNNNNNNNNNNNNNNNNNNNNNNNNNNNNNNNNNNNNNNNNNNNNNNNNNNNNNNNNNNNNNNNNNNNNNNNNNNNNNNNNNNNNNNNNNNNNNNNNNNNNNNNNNNNNNNNNNNNNNNNNNNNNNNNNNNNNNNNNNNNNNNNNNNNNNNNNNNNNNNNNNNNNNNNNNNNNNNNNNNNNNNNNNNNNNNNNNNNNNNNNNNNNNNNNNNNNNNNNNNNNNNNNNNNNNNNNNNNNNNNNNNNNNNNNNNNNNNNNNNNNNNNNNNNNNNNNNNNNNNNNNNNNNNNNNNNNNNNNNNNNNNNNNCCCCCCCCCUCUAAAAUAAGGGUGACUCAACUAGAGGUUGUGUACAACACGUGUACUACGAACUUGUUGCAGAAAGAAGGCCGGAGGGUGGACACAUGAUGGCAGAUAUAAAGCGGUAACACAUAGGAUAAAUACUAUAAACAAAGAGCAUGAAAAAGCACAAAAAGUGAAAAUAACACAAACAAUAACCACAAACAAUGUUUAUACACUCGUAAUGCCAAACAAAGCCGAUACGACUCCAAAAAACAGCUCGAAUUCUGAAAACUUGUCAUUGGCUCCCCAGCAGAGUCGCCAGAAGCUGUCACACCCCUUUUUUACGCGUACUCCAAAAAAUGGAUAUAUUUUAAAGUUCGAAAGGGUUUUAUUAUUUAAGUGACAAGAAACGAAAAUUUGUUUCGGAAAAGGAUUAUUUACAUUUUUUAUUCAGAGUCGUCACUUGGCAUAAUCCGGUGUGCCAAGUCACCUUUGGAAAAUCCUUUUCGAAACUAUUUGACUCUUAAACUGGUUUGUGAACAGAGAUUCCGGCUAAGGAAUUCUGUUGACCGAGGGGAAGGUGUUAGGCACCCCUCGAUCCCGUGGUUCAACCACGGUCGCUUGGUAGAGUGUAUCGACUAUUUUUGGCAUUAUGAAAUGUAUAAACCACACAAAAGAACGCAAAAUAAUCAAACAAUAAACAAAACAAAGCAGUCCAAAAACGUAUAGUCCAGUCCAAUUAUACAGUCCGAAAAAUAGAAAGAUAUACAAAAAAAUAUAAAUCCUAGUCUAAACUAAAUCUAGACUAAGCUCCAUGCCUUACCCGACGCCGCAGGAUUUCAUCACGAUCAUUUUCCGCCAACAUGAUACGUCAGGCCAUUCCCCGGUGAAUAAAUACAAGUGAUCUCGGGGCAUUCCUCGGCUAAAUAAAUACAUCUAAAUUAAAUACGAUAAUCUAAAAAGAGACAUUCACACGCACAUUCCAACAUCCCACGAAACACUUAUUCCUAAAUUUCGCCUACCCGGCCUAUGUUUGCCUACCCGCUCGACAACAUACCGCAUUCAACAUUAACAAUGUAUCAAAAAUAUCAAAUAUUUACUUUUAUCAAUUUUUCGAUUCCCAUCCCCAAAUUUAUUUCAAACAAUAUGAUUAAACAUGCUUCUAUUUAUCAAUUCACUUUUCAAAGUCCGGAACCAACAUCAACCAACACAUAACACAUAUUCGAACAUACCAAACACCUAACAAAUAAAUCAUUCACACCCCCAACAUCACCAAAGUCAAAAUAAAUUAAAGAUUCGGUUAGAAGAAAUGGACCUCGAUGAAAUUGAUCCUUGUCGAUAAUAAAGAAAUUCAAAGACCAAAAUACUCGACUGGAGAACCUCACAACGAACAAACCAAAUCAAUGACCCAAAAUCAUCACCUAAAUAGAUUUCAAAUCAAGAAUAAAACCCGAAGCAUCCUAAAAAUCAGAUAGAGAAAAUGAGACCGAUUGAAACCGAACUCGAGUGAGUUGACAGCAGCCAAGACACGGUGAGUAAGGGUCGGAUUCAGGCAAAUUUUAGUGUUUCCCGUCCAAAUCUAUCCGUUUAUUGAAGAAAACCGACAAGAAUCGAACAGACGACGACCUGUAAACUACUUUCGGCUAAAGGUUCGCCGAAAAAACUCAAGAACAAUGACAGAUCUCGCACCGACUUUGCGGUUUCUGGUCGGAAUCUCAAGCUCCCUCCAAUUUUUCCAACUUCGUCCUCACAUCUUCCGCUCGAUCUUCUCUCUUUCUGUGCUACUCUCCCUUCGCUACUGAUCGGAUUCUUGCCGGAGAAAAACGGAAACAGUAGUUCCGUCUGUUCUCUCUCUCUCUCCGUCACUCUCUCUGUUAUUUUUGUUUCUCGAAUCUCCUUCCUUCUCAUAGAUAUCUCUCACUCACGGUUUUCUCUCUGUGUGUGUGCUGUGAGUGUUCUUGUCGUGUAAAAAAUGGUGAGAAGAGGAUCGAUCCGAGGGAAGGAAGAAGAUGAGUGUGCGUAUGGUGUAUGUUAAUGGAGUGGAUAGUUUUUGGAGAAGAAAAGAAAUCCAAUUUUUUCGAGAUGUGCUCUUCGUCCCCUUCCUUUUCUUGUUUCUGUUACUGUUUCUUGAUGAUGAUGGGUUCAAAAAAAUAAAAAAUGUGUAAAAAGGGUAGGGGGUAGGGUAGGGUAGGUGGGGUAACGUGGGGUAGUGAUAGUGGUGAGGUGUUAUUUUUUUAUUGGGUAGGUUGUUAGGAUAAGAUAGGAUUAGUUAUUUUAUUCUUUGUUUAUUAUUUUUUGUAUUUUGCGGGGUAUAAUGACAUGGGUGAGGGUACACGAUAGGAUAAAAUAAGAAUGGGUAAAAAUAACAUCGAGGGGAGGGGGGACGAAAUUAGGUGUCUACAACAAUCAUGGGGUUGGUGAAGUUUGCACCUACUAGAUUGACAACCUUAACUAAGAACUAAAAAAGCAAAAUCUUUUUGUAUUUUUUUUUCAAAUUUACUCAGAAACUAGAAAAAUAACUAAAAAUCAAGACCCUACAAUAUCACUUCACCUGAAACCAUGGGAAUUUUUCCCACUCCAUACUUAAAACUCACUUUGUCCCCAAAUUAAACUCAAAUGCAAGGGUAGAGAUCCUCCAUAAGGCCUCUAGGUCUAACUAGCAGCAUUUUUAUGUAGCAAGAGGGUCUGGAGACCCCAUACUUAGUCUCUACCAUGCUUCUUAACUCAAGUCUCUAGUAAUCACACUUCCCAUCAACCUGUAACUCAACAAAAAUAAAAAUUACGUGAAGUAAAAAUUAAAAUAUUAAAAAUAAAAUACCUACCUCUUAUUUGGAUUGCUUCCCAAGUCGCUCCUAAUUUAGUGUUAGGGCACAACCCCAUCACUAUGGGUGGAUCUACGUGUAAUUUAUACUAUAUAUAUAGCAUUAAAAUUUUGAUUUGGUCUCUCUCUCUAUAUAUAUAUACAUGUUAAGUACUGAACACCCUUGACACAAGGCUAAAGCUUGGUUCAGUGGUGAAGGGGUGCAAAAUUUCUCAAUCCGUGUGGGUUCGAGUUUGAAUAACAUUAUUUUUUUCAAUCUUUUAUAUUAGGUUUUGAAUUAAAUCCUUAGUUACUUUCUUGCUCUCUUACAUUUUGUCCCCUUUUAUUUUCGCUUCUCUCUCACUUUUUCUAUUCCCUUUUGUUUUCUCUUCACUCACUUUCAUGGUUACUAAUUUGAUGAUUGACUUCUUUUUUUAUUUUUUCACAAAAUUACACUAUAUACUUUUAUUUGUUGUUUAGUUAUUUUGACUAAUUUAAAAUAGUUUACAUCUUUUCUUCUUAAAAUUAAGGAAAAAUUAGUAUUAGUUUUAUCAUGUUAAUGUAUAAACAACUUAAACGUAAGUACAAUUCUAAUAACUUAUUGUACUUUUUUAUGUAGUUUCUAAAUAUGUAAAUUAUUUUUAAAAAUUUUAAAGAUUGUAUGUCUGAACGCACGAUCAAAAUAAAGAAGUUUAACUUCUCCGUUUUGUUGUUCAUGUUGAGGUAGAGUUGAACUUUGUCUAGCUCGCUCAAAUCAAAUGCGAUCCGCUUAUAUCUGAUUCAAUCCGCUUAUUUUUGAGGUCCUGUUAACAUGCUUAGUUAUUUUUUUAAUUCUCUUUAAUAGAAAUCCUGACUCCACCAUUGAUGGCACGCCACCAUACUUUUAACAAAUUUUAAUGGAUUAAAAUUUACAUACAUUCGAUAUAUAUAUUAAGUCAAUACAUGUAUAUUAUGUGUUUAAAUUACAUGUAUAUUAUGUAUUUAAAUUUAAAAUUUAUGUUACUUAAUCAUAAUUAAUUAACAUAUAUUUUAUUUUAUUUAAUUAUUUAAUUAUAUAAAAAAUAUUAAUUUAAUAUAUACACCAAAUUACUCAUUUUAGUAUGUAGGAUUCUCCCAGAAGAUUUGGUUCUCUAGCUCUUUAUGAAUUUAAUUUUAAUUUUAUAUUCCUUUUAUCAGAGAUAUUUAUAAUAAUUUAUACAUAAGAGAUAUUUGAAAUAAAAUUAAAGUUCGCUCAAAGCUUCAAACACUAAACUCUAUUGAAGAUCUCGAAAUCAUCACCAACCAUUAUACAAUGAUGUUAAUGGAACUCACUAGAAAUCUCUUGAUUCUCUCCGUUUUAAAAUAAUUUAUUUUAAAUUAGUUAUCUUGUUUUUGAAAUCAAGAGAAUAUUAUUAUGUUCUUUAAAUCAUAAUUAAUAAGGUUGAUUUGAUAAAAUAAACUUCUAGUAAUAAAUUUUUUAUUAAAAAAAAUAUCAAUUCAAUAAGGAUCAAUUAUUUUGAAUAGAGGGAAUACACUAUAUUACAUUUUCCAAUUAUUAAAAUCAAGGCAAUUUGAUCUCAUAUUUCAAUUCAAGAUUGAAACGGAAUUUCAAGAAUAUUAGAAGAAUUCUCCAAUUUCAUGAUGACUAUUAGAUUGAGAACCAUAUAUCAAAAGAAUUGUUUGAAUGUAACCACUUUUAUCUCGAAAUUUAAUACUAUAAAUUUGAGUCAUCAAAAAAGCAUAAAAGGCGAAAAGCUUCAACAAAAAGAUUAAAAAAUAAAUAGUGACUUGACUAUAAAAAAAUAUUAUCUCUAAUUCCAUCCCCCUUGAUUAGUAUUUUGGAUAUGACUUGAUACUUAUGGUUGUGUUGUCUUCACAUUCAUAUUUUCUUCAAUAAGUACAAUAAUAUUCCAUACCACCUUACAGUAAUAUUUGUUUAAUUUAAAAAAUUAAUUAUUUUGUGUCAAUUUUAUUUUGCUAUGAAAUAGUCUCGUCAUUUCUUUAUAAGUGCUCUUUUUGAGUUGCUAAUUUUGUUUUCAAAUAUAUAUAAGUGCAUGUUUAAGACUUCAAAAAUACUUUGAUCGUAAUCUUCCUUAUAUGCUCUUAGAUUUAAAUAUAGUAAUCCAUGUCAACUUAAAAAGAAGUGAGAUUUCAUUAGAGGUAAGUUGAUAACGUUAUCUUUAAAUUUUUAGGAGUGAAUAGUUUAUUAAAAGAUAUACCUUAGUAAAAAAAUAGCGCUUAUUUAUAAAUGAAUGAAAAUACUAUUCAUUAUUUAAUGUAUUUUUCAAAGGACUAAAUUUACUAUAUUCAAAAAAAAUAUAGUAAGAAAUUAUCUUUAUUAUUUAUUAUUUAUAUUAAAUUAAUACUAAACAUAUAAAUAAAGAUAAACGGAAGAAGUAACUUAGAAAAUGGAAAUGCAGCAAACUCUGAAUAUAUGGUUGAACUUUCUUUCUUGUAACAUCAUUGAUUAACGCAGAUAUUAUUGAAUUUAAUGAGUUCUUAAUUGUACUCUAUCCGUAUGUUUUUACUUGUCAUAAUUUGAUUUGACAUAUCAAUUAAGAAAAAUAAUUAAUAAUAUGAUUAUUUUAUAAUAAUAUUCUUAUUAAAUGAUGUUUAUAUUGUCUUUUAUUAAUAUGUCUAAAAUGGAACCUCAAGACCAAAAUGAGGUACAAAAUAAAAAAAAGUGAUUAAAAUAGGCUAUUUAUUUAAAAAGUUACUAAAGUAGGCUAAACGUAAUAAUUUAUUAUGUUUUUUUACUUUUUUUAAACGGUCAAUUAACGAAAUUAACUUUUUAAAAAACGUAAGAAAUUAUUACAUUUUACAUAUUUAUUUGUAAAACGUAAUAAUUUCUUGCGUUUUGUCAUAAAAAUAUAUAAAACGUAAGAAAUUAUUAUGUUUUACACGAAAAUUGAGGUAAAAAAGACAAUUAUUUUUCACAUCACUAAAAAAUAUCGGAAACAGCCUCCCAGACCUCACUAUGUGGGAAUACACUGGGUUUGUUGUUGUUGUAAAAAUCAUAGUAUAUAUAAAAUUUAUACUAUAUUAAAUAUUUUUUAAUUGAAUACACAUCUCGCUAAAUAGUUAAUAAUUGUUAAUUUUUAUUCUCAAUUCUUACAUUUUGGAGUAUGUUAUGACUAUAAAAUUAUUUAUAUAUACGUUGUAUGUUAUGACUGAGAAUUACAUGUACAAUAAUCGAUAAUAUAGAUAUAAAAAUUAUAUCAUACGUAUUAAUUAAUUAAAUAGGAAUUGAAAAUGACAAACUCAAACAUAUAUAAUAAAAAUAAUGUAAAAAAAGAAAAAUCAGACUUAAUACAACCAAACAAAUGACCUCUAAAUAUAUUACAUGUGUCUUCCAAUAUACUUCUACUAUUUAUGUUAGUGUGAUUAACAUAAAAGAGCAAAAAAGGAAAUGUGGGGACAAUUUACAGCUAUAUCAAUUUUUUAAGUUGGCGCAUGUGCAAGAAAAAAUUAUUCAAUUUUAUUUUAUUUAAUCCCCAUUUGAUAUACUCCUCAGGUGGCCCACGUGCAAAGGGGGGACAACGUAAGUUUUAGAAAAUGUUACUUUUUUUUUUUUUUUUUAGUGAUGAGAUAAAUCAUUAUUUUUUUUAUAUUUUUUUUACGUUUUAUAUAUUUUUCUGAUAAAACGUAAGAAAUUAUUAUAUUUUAUAAAUAAAUAUAUAAAACGUAAUAAUUUCUUAUGUUUUUAAAAAAGUUAACUCGGUUAGUUGAUUGUUAAGAAAAAAGUGAAAAACGUAAUAAAUUAUUACGUUUAGCCUAUUUUGGUAAUUUUUUUAAAUAAAUGGCCUAUUUUGGUCACUUUUUUUUUAUUUUGUGGCUUAUUUUAGUUUUGAGUUCUCUAAAAUGACAAGUAAAAAUAGAAAUAAAAUUAAGAAAUUUAUGACAACCACAAGUAAAAAUGAAAGGAGAGAGUAUAAGACAAAAGAAAUAAUAUCCAUGAGUUCCAUAUUUUCAUUGUACACAAAGUUAAUUGGAGUUGUAUUAAAUUUUGAUUUCCUUUCAUCUUUAUUUCUCCAAUUAUACUAAAAUUGACUAUAUGUUUCAUUGUACUAGUUGUCUAUUUUUACAAAUCAAAAAGAGUUAUUAUUCUUUUCAUAAUAACUUGGUACUAGAUAGCCACAGAGGGUGAUAAUAGUAUUAGAUAAUCACAUAAAGGUGAUAUUAGUUAAAUUUAGUAUAAGGUGAUUUUAAUAAAGUAUAUCUCCAAUUAAAAUUAUCUAAAAGAUAGAGACAAACAUUCCGUAUUCGUUCGAACUAUGAUCAAAGAUACUUCGAUAUACUCCAACUUUAUCAGAGUUCUAUUACCUUUGAACUCAAUUUUAGAAUAUUUUUAUCACCUUUUUUUAACUGACGUGAUACCUUUUUAGCUGACGUGACACAUUUGACGUGAGCCUCAUUUUUAUAUAAUAAAGGUAUCACAUCAGUUAAAAAAGAGUGAUGAAAAUAUUCUAAAUAUAUGUACUUACUUCAUGUCCAAUAAUAUCGUCCUUUAAUCUGUUGCUUCGUGAUGAAGCCGGAAGGACCAAAGAGUCAUUUAAGAUCCAUUGGAAAGUCUCUUUGGCUACAAAUUCCUCCAUAACUAUCAAACAAGUAACCACAACCAUUGGAAUGACAAUUGUUAAAGUUGCAUUUGGAGUAAAAAGUAUCACUUUUUUAUAGUUAAGGUGUGUAAUAGGUCACUUAUAGAAUUUAGGUAUGGAUUCGACUUUUCAACUAUAAUUUGGAGUGAAAAUGAUGCAUUUUUCCUUUAAUUCUUGAUGAUUGAAUUUGAUAUGAUAGGUUUUGAAGAGAUGCAAUAGAAUUCAUCUUGAAGUUUUGGCUCUAACAAUAGUUAUAUCUCUACAAAAGAUGACAUACGUAUAAGAAAUUAAUACUCGUCUGGAUAAUUAUUUUUCCAAUUGAUUUCUAAUUAAGAGUAUUCACAAAUUAAAUUUUACUGUUCAUAAUUACACAUCUAACUAUAAGUGGGAAUGAAGAUAAGAUGACAUAAUUACAAGCAAUUAAUACUCGUCUGGAUAAUUAUUUUUCCAAUUGAUUUCUCUUAAGAGUAUUCACAAAUUAAAUUUUAUUGUGCGUAAUUUCGAAUUCAACGUGAUUUACUCUUUCAUUUGUAAUUGAAUUACCGCUAAGCUAAUUUAACUUGAAUAUGCUCUUUUUUAGUUUUAAGUUUUAACCAAGCCUCAUCUAACAACAACAAUAAUAUAUCCAGUGUAAUUCCACACGCCGGAUGUAGGAAGGGUAGAGCGUAUUCAGACCUUACCUCUACCUCGUAUAGAUAGAGAGACUGUUUAUGAAAGGCUCUCAGCUUAAAAGAACAUGUCAAACAUUUUGAAACAAGGGGUAGGGAUAUGGGACUAAGUCUCAACUAAGUACUAUACAUAUUAUAUUUUCCGUUUAGUGAAACUUUUGAAUCAUAAAGAUUAAAUUCUAAAUUCAUCUCGUCGAGCAAAAUAACAUUAAUAUUGUAUAGGAUAAAUAGAGAGGAGAUGCGAUACCAGAAGACAUGUAAUGCCUUUGUUGUCUGAUUAGUCUAAAACGAAGAGCAACAACGUAAAGAUCGACAUCAUCUUCAUUUUUAUUCUGUUCGGACUCAUCAAAAAUGUUUUGAAUAGACGUUUUGAUCUCAUUUUCGAAAUGAUAUCCCACUCCCAAUCGUUGGAUUGCAUCAAUCAAGACUAGUUUUUGUAUAAUAUUAUCAAGAGUUUUCACUAACAUUUGCCUGACUUUUUCUUUCAACUCUUCAACUCCAUCUUUUUCUUGGCUACUAAUUUCCUGCCCAAAAAAUUAAUAGUUAGUAUUGUUGUACAUAUUCAUAAAAUAGCAGCAAAUGCAAUACAACACCAAUAACAUAUUCACCAUAAUUUUAUAGGUAGAGUCUAGCAGGAGCGGAGCCAGUUCUUUGGCGGGGGUUUCAUCCGAACCCUCUUCGACGGAAAAUAUAUCAUUUAUACAUGAUUAAAAAAAAAAAUCUAUGUAUUUAUAGUAGGCGUUGAACCCCCUUUGGCUAGUUUUUCUUCAAAUAUUGAACCUCCUGAGUUUAAAUCCUUGCUUCGCCUCUGAACUUUAGGAAGGGUAUAGUUUACGCAAAUCUUUACCUAACUCGUGGAUAUAGAUAGGUUGUUUCCGAAAGAACUCUACUCAAAUAAUGCAUAUCAAACAAUUUGAAAAAAAAAAAAUACUACAAAAGUAAAGAAGACAUAUAUGGCAAAUAAUAGGUUACAUGACAUUCAAAAAAGCAAGCAACAAUAACAACAAUAAUAUACCCAGUGUAUUCCCACAAAGUGAGAUCUGGGGAGGGUAAACUAUACGCAAUCCAUACCACUACCUCAGACGAAGUAGAGAGAUUGUUUUUGAUAGAUUCCCGACUCAGGACAUAUAAAGCAACAAUAACAAUAGCCAAAAAACAUAUGAUCUAUAAUUAUGCACAAUUACCGAAACACACAUAACUACGGAAGGUAACAAAAAUCGUAGGCUAAGAAACUACUUGACUAAUGCUAUUACUUUUGGUAUGCACAGAGAAACAAAUACGAUACACCAAACUAACACGAAGCCUAUCCCACAGAAAAACGAGACAUAUAUGAGUGUAUGUGUACAUAACAUACAGUGAGUUGAGGAGUGUAGGUGAGAAAAUGUUCUGCAAAAUGCAUGUAACAACAUAAUUAUAUGUGCUGUAAUUAUCAUUCUUAUAUUUUUACUAUAUAUAUGCGACAAGGUAAUUUUAUGUUUUGUGUUUGUGAGUGGUGUGCAUACUGUAUUUAUAUAUGUUUUGUUAAAACACUAUUGUAAGUUUUUUGAAAGUUUUAUUAUUUCUUUAAAUCGAAUAAUUAAGGUCCUAAUUUUGCAUCUCUAAGUAAUUUUUUUUUUUUUUUUUUCAAUCCUAGAGCCCUCAAAUCAGUUAAUCAAAUUCAAUGGCUAGCUAAUGAUUUGCAGUAUGUGUAUUAUAAAAUUAUGCACUCCUAAUUGAAAAUCGAAUCUUCUAAAUGCUCACAUUCAGUAUUCAUAAUUACAAAAGUUGAUAUACCAAAAUUUUGUUAUCUAAUUGUUAUAAUCUAUGAAUUCUAUGUAUGUGUACUUCAUGAACAUUAAUAAAGAAAACAGAGAAAAGAUGUAGAGAAGAAGAAGACGAGGGAUUAGAGAAGAGAUUAGAGAAAAUGAAUUUGUUUAUUACUUCAUUCAAUUAGAAUAUAUACACUGUUAAAUUGACUGUUUGGCAGUAGAUUAGGUAACUUAACUAACUAGUCAGACAUGACUUAAUAUAGCUAUAGAACCAUUUUUAUGUUAAUCAAUAUAUUUGGAACAAAACCGUUUGAGAGAAGAUUAAGGGAUGAUUGAUAUAUGUCAUAACUGUAAUCCCCUUUUUAUGGGUAUGUAAUAUAUUUUCCAUAUAUUAAAAUUAUUUUUUUCUUAUUUUUUAUCAUUAAAAAACAUUUUUUUUCCUUUUACAAAUGAUUUUUUGCUAUAACUUGCAAAGUCGAAAGUACUGCUAUAACUUACAAUUUUCAAUCUAAGGAACGUUAUUUACGUUUUUCCUAGUAAAAUAGUUGAUCCUCUUCUAAAAAGUUUUUUUUUUUUAAAUUUAGUUGUCCACUUGAAAACCAAAUCACCUGUCUUCUUGGUUUGCAAGGCGCUUUUUUAAGUCUUAUAUCAACUUUUAUAUAUUUCGUAUAUAAUUAUAUUUAAUCUGCAUCGGAUUUAACGUGUGCUAAAGCACCACAAAAUUCCACAGGUCUGCUCCUGGGGCAAAUCUAGAUGCAACAUUAUAUAACGACGAAAAAUAACACGAUCAAUUCAAACACUAUAUUGAUAGUUAAAACAAUACAACAAGAUACAAUACAAUACAAUACGACACUUUACUAAAGAAUACAUAACAACUAUCCAAAUAUAGAGUAAAGGAAAUAUGAGUGAAAAGACAACACACAGUGACAAGACUCCUGCAAACAUUAAUAGAAUUAAAGCAGCAACAUAAAAAUUUGCUUCAAAUGUACAUUUAUGAUGUACUAUAGAAAGAGUCCAAAAACAUCAUGGUGAUUACAUCUUUAAGGAAGCUUUGUGAAUCAUUAAAAUCAUCUUUUUGGAGAAUAUAUACAAGGCGUGAAAGAUUUAAGACAGGUUCCAAAACAAACGUUGGUACUUUAGUAGCACGUAAAUACUCCGUGUUUAUAUCUUUCCAUGCAUUCGCGAUUUGCCUCAAUGCCUCAUCACACGCCUCUUGUUCUGACGCUCCAUAUUCUUUCAGGUAGCACUCGAUAAAUGAAGCUCCAUGUUCUCUUUGUUGUUCGUGCUGCAUCAAAUAUAAGUAUAUUUUUGUGUGAUGUUCAAACAUAGAGUAAAGCAUCUAAUAACUUCCUAAACUAUGAUAAAAUUUGCUAUGGCACACUCCAACUUCAUGAGGUCCUAUUACCCUCUAAACUAAAUUUUAAUGAAUUUGUCAUUCUUUUUACAUGUCCGCACAAAAGGGUGACAAAAAUACGCUAAAAUUGAGUUCAUGGGGUCAGAGGCGGAGCGAUCCCUUUGGUAGAAGGUUCAUCCGACCCUCUUUGACAGAAAAAUAGACUAUUUAUACAUGAUUAAAAUUAUUUUUAUGUAUCUAUAGUACGUGCUGAACCCCCUUCGGCUAGAUUUUCUUGAAAUAUUGAACCCCUUAAUUGAAAUCCUGGCUCCGCCUCUGCAUGGGGUAAUAGGACACUUGCGAAGUUGGAGUAUGUCGUAGCAACUUUGGUCAUAGUUUAAGAGGGUACUGAAUGCUUAUCUCUUAAACAUAUGUUUUAUUCUGUUGCAAUAGGUUAUACACUUAAAUGAUCAUGUAAUUACUAUGAGAUUAAUUGAAAUUGUAAUUAUUAAAUUAAUUUGGCUAUUACUAAUAAUGGCUUAAUUUGCACCAUUUCAAAUAAAAUUCGUCAAUUGAUCACUCUACUCAGAACAAACACACUAAGAUAAUCGUGUAAUUACUAUGAGAAUAAUUGAAAUCGUAAUUGAACUUAUCAAUUCAUCUUUAAUUUUAGUUAUAUCAAUGUAGUUAUUACUAAUAAUAUCUUAAUUUGAAUCAUUUCAGAUAAAAUUGAUCAAUUAACACUUUACUCAAAAUGAAUACACUUAGAUGAUCAUGUAAUUACUAACUAUGAGAUUAAUUGAAAUCACAAUUAAAAUUAUCAAUUCAUCUUUAAUUUUAGUUAAAUUAAUUUAAUUAUUACUAAUAAUUGUUGAUUUAAUUAUUUCAUAUAAAAUUGGUCAAUUGAUCAUUCUACUUAAGACGAAACACUUAGUUAAUCAUGUAAUUAUUAUAAAAUUAAUUGAAAUUGUAAGUCAACUCACUAAUUCAUCUUUAAUUUUUGUUAAAUCAAUAUAGUUAUUUCUAAUUAUGGUUUGGUUUUAAUAAUUUCAAAUAAAAUUGGUCAAUUGAUCACUCUACUCAGGAUGAACACACUUAAUUGAUAGUGUAAUUACCAUGAGAUUAAUUGAAACUGUAANNNNNNNNNNNNNNNNNNNNNNNNNNNNNNNNNNNNNNNNNNNNNNNNNNNNNNNNNNNNNNNNNNNNNNNNNNNNNNNNNNNNNNNNNNNNNNNNNNNNNNNNNNNNNNNNNNNNNNNNNNNNNNNNNNNNNNNNNNNNNNNNNNNNNNNNNNNNNNNNNNNNNNNNNNNNNNNNNNNNNNNNNNNNNNNNNNNNNNNNNNNNNNNNNNNNNNNNNNNNNNNNNNNNNNNNNNNNNNNNNNNNNNNNNNNNNNNNNNNNNNNNNNNNNNNNNNNNNNNNNNNNNNNNNNNNNNNNNNNNNNNNNNNNNNNNNNNNNNNNNNNNNNNNNNNNNNNNNNNNNNNNNNNNNNNNNNNNNNNNNNNNNNNNNNNNNNNNNNNNNNNNNNNNNNNNNNNNNNNNNNNNNNNNNNNNNNNNNNNNNNNNNNNNNNNNNNNNNNNNNNNNNNNNNNNNNNNNNNNNNNNNNNNNNNNNNNNNNNNNNNNNNNNNNNNNNNNNNNNNNNNNNNNNNNNNNNNNNNNNNNNNNNNNNNNNNNNNNNNNNNNNNNNNNNNNNNNNNNNNNNNNNNNNNNNNNNNNNNNNNNNNNNNNNNNNNNNNNNNNNNNNNNNNNNNNNNNNNNNNNNNNNNNNNNNNNNNNNNNNNNNNNNNNNNNNNNNNNNNNNNNNNNNNNNNNNNNNNNNUACGAAUAAUGGCUUAAUUUGAUUCAUUUCAAAUAAAAUUGGUUAAUUGAUUACUCUAAUCAUGACGAAUACAAUUAGUUGAUAAUUUAAUUACUAUGAGAUUAAUUGAAAUUGUAGGUUCAUCUUUAAUUUUAAUUAAGUCAAUUUAGUUAUUACUAAUAAUAUCUUAAUUUGAAUUAUUUCAAAUAAAAUUGGUCGAUUGAUCACUCUACUCGGGAAGAAUACACUUAGUUAAUCAUGUAUGAGAUCAAUUGAAAUUGUAAGUGAACUCAUUAAUUUAUGUUUAAUUUUAGUUAAAUCAACAUAGUUAUUACUAAUAAUGACUUAAUUUGAAUCAUUUAAAAUAAANNNNNNNNNNNNNNNNNNNNNNNNNNNNNNNNNNNNNNNNNNNNNNNNNNNNNNNNNNNNNNNNNNNNNNAGUUAAAUCAAUAUAGUUAUUUCUAAUGAUAACUUAGUUUGAAUCAUUUCAAAUAAAAUUGAUCAAUUGAUCACUCUACUCAGGACGAACAUACUUAGUUGAUCGUAUAAUUACCAUGAGAUUAAUUGAAACUGUAAUUAAACUUAUUAAUUCAUCUUUUAUUUUAGUAAUCAAUUUAGUUAUUACUAAUAAUGACUUAAAGUGAAUCAAUAGAUGACUAACAUGUUAUAACAGAUGCGUAAUCUGUUGGAAAUGAUCAAACAAAUAAAAACAUCUGUUGAAAAUGACCAAACAGAUAUAGACAUCUGUUGCAACAAAUGACUCACUUGUUGCAACAACUAAUUCAUCUAUUGAAAAUUAUCAAACAGAUAUCGACACCCGUUGCAACAGAUAACUAAGUUGUUGCAACAUAUGACUCAUCUGUUGAAAAUUAUUAAAUAGACCAAAUAUGUGUUAAAAAGCAAUUUAAAAUACUAAAGCUCAGUAUUUUUUAGGAGAACUCAAAUGUUUCCCCCCUUGUCUAAGAUCUUGUCUUCAAUUUUAGUUAAAUCAAUUUAAUUAUUAUUAAUAAUUGCUUAAUUUGAAUCAAUAAAUGACUAACUUGUUAUAAACAUUUAUUGCAACCGAUGACUAACUUGUUGCAACAAAUAGGUGAUCUGUUGAAAAAUAAUUAAAAUACUAGGUAACUCAAACAUUUUUAGGAGAACUAAAAUGUUUGUCCCAUUGUCUUAAAGACUUGUCUUUAAUUUUAGCUAAAUCAAUUUAGUUAUUACUUAUAAUUGCUCAAUUUGAAUCAACAGAUGACUAACAUGUUGCAAUAGAUAAUUCAUCUGUUGGAAAUUAUCAAACAGAUAGAAAAGCUAUUAUAAUAGAUGAGUUAUCCAUUAGAAAACAAUUAAAAUACUAGGGAAAUUAAAUGUUUUUAGGAGAACUCAAACGUUUGUCCCCUCAAUCCUUUUGCAUUUGAUGUAUGAUACACUAUUUUUGUCUUCUUUACCUGUUUCAUGAAAUUUUUCAUGUGUUUCACUUAUUUGUUGUGCCUUUGUUGAAAUUUUUAGAAUUUUUUUAGGUUAAAUUUUGUUCGUACAUCACUUGGACAUUACUUCAUAGGUGAUUUUGUAAGUAUAAUUAUAAUUUUUGUUGAAUUUUUUAUUUGGUAUAUUUGCUACUGUUACAAUGGAUAGAACAUGCAACAUGAAUUCAAUAUAUGAGUCAUUUAUUGCAACAAGUGAGUAAUCCGUUGCAACAUAUGACUAAUCUGCUGCAGCAGAUGACCCAUAUGUUGGAUUCAUGUUACAACACUAUAAUACAAAUCCAACAGAUGAGUAAUCUGUCGCAACAAAUUAGUCAUAUAUGUUGCAACAGAUUAUUCAUAUGUUGCAACAGAUUAGUCAAUAUGUUGCAACAGAUUAGUCAAUACGUUGCAACAGGUUACUCAUCUGUGCAAUAGAUUACUCAUCUGUUGGAUUCACGUUACAUGUUUUAUCUACUGUUGAAAAACAGCAGUAGCAGAUACACCCAGAUGAGAAAUUCAACUAAAAAUUAUAAUUUUACUUACUAAAAUCACCUAUAAGUAAUUCCCAAGUGAUAUACGAAUAAAAUUUGACCUAAAAAAUUUGAUCAAGUAGCAAUAGUAGCGGUAACAAUAAUGUUCAACAACAAGAAGAUGAUGAAUAUGAACAAGAAGAGAUGAUAAUGAAGAACAAGAUGAUGAUAAUGAAGAAAAGAUGAUGAAUAAAGCAACAACAAUAAUGAACAACAAAAAUCACGAAGAGAGAGAAAACUCCAAUAAAUGAGAAGAGAGAGAAACGUGCCUUUUUUUCUCUCCAUUUCUAGUUAUAUUAGGUUUUACAUUGGAUCAAAGUAUAAAUUAAAAAAUUUGUGGGUUAUUUUCAAACUUUUCUUAUUUUCUUAAUCCUUAAUAAAGUAAUUGUCACCCCCACUCAAUUAUUAAGACUUGUGUCACCCGUACUUCAUUUUAAAACCCUUUUGUCACCUAGAGCCCAAGGCCCCUAAUAACUUGACCAUGCUAUAAGUCCAAACAACAUAGUUGGUCCUCUUGCCAAAAAUGUUUGUUUCAUUUUAAUUGUUCGAAUUUGAAAAUCAAGAGAAGUUUAUUGUGUUUUUUCAAUAUUAUCCCUAUCAUUAAAUGACUAUAUAAAAUUUAUAUAAUUAAAUUUAUAUUUUUAAUACAUAAAUAAUAGAGCUACUUCAACAAAAUAAAUUUCUAUUAAAUAUUUUUCUAAGAAAAAUGUCAAGUCAAUAAUUUUCGAACUAAAACGAAAGUACCUUUGAGUCACUCGAAUAAUAAUGACACUAUAAUUUAUUAAUCAGCUAUAGAAAAGGUAACUACUCAAUAUUAUUAAUACAAUUUGAUUUACUAAAAUGAGUAAUAUCUGAUACAUCUUUCUAAAACUAGCAAUAUUUGGCACGUCUUGAGUAUCAUAUUAACUGUCUAGUACUAAAAAUAUUUAUUUCAAGUUAUUUGUCAUUUAUAAAAUUUAAGAGAGAAUUAAAAAAAUAUUUUUUAUUUUAUUCUUACAAUUUAUUUCUUUUUGAAAGUGUAAAUAAGUUUGUAAAUUUUCAAAAAUAUUUCUAAAGAGCUAAAUUAGUAAAAUAAUUUGUUUUAUUUAUGAUUUUUAAGAGAAAGAAAAGUGAAUAAUUAAUAUGGGAUGGAGAGUGUUCCUUAAAAUUUUGUAGUAUCAUAUCAGGUCUUUUAGUGAAACAAAACUAUUUUAAAAAAUUCAUAUUACCACAAUGGAAAAGGGCCAACAAUACUGAAGUAUUUGAAAUAGGACAAUUAUAUCCUUCGUUAGUUUUUUAGCUUAAAAAUACUCCUCGCUCUAACAGAAUGACACCAAGUAUGUCACGUGAUCAAAAAAGGCCCCAUGACCUCUUCACGUCAAUGCCCAUGGAAAAAAUCAUUCCAUUUAAUACCCUUAACCAUAAUCGUUGCCUUCUUCUUCUUCAUCUUCGAGCAUCAAUUUCUCGACAAAAACUCACAUUCUUCGACCACAAUUCGAAAAUCUUGGAUGUUGUUUGACAUCUCCUUUAUACUUCACCAACAGAACUAGAUAUGAUUGAACUUGAGAAAUUGAUGCUCGAAGAUGAAGAAAAAGAAGCAAUGAUGAUGGUUAGUGAUAUUAAUUGAGUGAUUUUUCACGGUUAUGUGGUGUUUCUUAUUCACGUGAUGUGUUUGCUGUCAUUUCGACAGAGGAAUAUUUUUAAACAAAAAAUUUAACGAAAGAAUAUUUUUGAGUCAAAAAAUUAAUGAAGAGUAUUUUUGCUAUAUUUCGUAUAGUUUAUGAGUAUUUUUAGUAUCAGAUCAGAUCUAUAGAUGAAAUAGAAGCAUUUUAAAAUUUUCAUAUUUUCAUAUUAUCAUAAUAAUCAUUUAGUAUUACUUCCUUCGUAUAUUCUUAUUUGUUCAUGUGACUAAAAAAUAAAUGUACACAAUAUUUGUUUAGUUUGUAGAACCAUGAACACAGUUGUUAUUUUGGUUUGAUUUUAAUUAAAAUCGAGUCAAAUUAAAUUAUGAACAUCCCUAAAUAUAAUAGAAUUAUUUAUAUUAUUUAUUAUUUCUUUAAAAAUGUAUCAAAUUAAUAGUGAACAAAUAAAAAUAGAAAAUCAUAUAAUAUAAGUUGGGUGUGGUGUAAUUGUUGAAAUACUCCAUUUUUUAAAUUUUAGAUCUACAUUCUAUAUGCAUACCACAUGUGGCAGGCAUGGGCGGAUCUAUAUGUAAUUUAGGGGUUUUGAAUCUUCUUUCGUUGAAAAAUUAUUCUUAUAUAUAUAGGAUCAAAAUUUUAAUUUACUGUAUAUAUGUUAAGUACUGAACCCCCUUGACACAAGGCUAAAGCUUGGUUCAGUGAUGAAGGGGUGCAAAAUUCCUCAAUCCGUGUGGGUUCGAGUUUGAAUAGCAUUGUUUUUUUUUCAAUCUUUUAUAUUAGCUUUUGUAUUAAAUCCCCUGUUACUUUCUUGCUCUAUUAGGUUUUGUCCCCAAUACAAUUCUGGUAACUUAUUGUACUAUUUAUGUAGUUUUUAAAUAUGUAAAUUAUUUUUAAAAAGUUUAAAGAUUGUAUGUUUGAGCGCAUGAUCAAAAUAAAGAAGUUUAACUUCCUCGUUUUGUUGUUCAUGUUGAGGUAGAGUUGAACUUUGUCUGGCUCGCUCAAAUCAAAUGUGACCCGCUUAUAUCUUAUCUGACUCGCUUAUUUUUAAGGUCCUGUUAACGUGCUUAGUUAUUUUUGUAAACCCUUUUAAUAGAAAUUCUGGCUCCGUCACUGGUGGCACGACACAAUAUUUUUAACAAAUUUUUGUGGAUUAAAAUUUACACACAUUUGAUAUAUAUAUUAAGUCAAUACAUGUAUAUUAUGUGUUUAAAUUUAAAAUUUAGGUUACUUAUUCAUGAUUAGUUAACAUAUAUUUUACUUAAUUUAAUUAUUUAACUAUAUAAAAAAUAUUAAUACCAAAUUACUCAUUUUAAUGUAGGAUUCUCUCAGAAGAUUUGGUUCUCUAGCUCUUUAUGAAUUUAUUUUUAGCUUUAUAUUCUUUUUAUCAGAGAUAUUUAUAAUAAUUUAUACAUAAGAGAUAUUUAUUUUUAUACAUAAAUAUAUAACGUAAAAAUAAAAUUUUACACUUAAACAAAUUGAGAAGUGACAUGUGGCGAGAAAAGUUGGUCAAAGUUGAUGUCAGAUCUUCAAAAUAAUUGUUCCUCUUCUAAAAAAAAUUGUUUCAUAUUAGUUUUGGAGAAUACUAUUAUAUUCUUCAAAUCAUAAUUAAUAAGGUUAAUUUAAUAAUAAAUUUCUAAUAAUUUUUUUUUAAGAAAAGUGUCAAUUUAAUAAGGAUCAAUUAUUUUGAAAUAAAGGAAAUACACGAUAUUAUAUUUUCCGACUAUUAAAAGAGUUCUCUAUUUUCGUAAUGACCUUUAAUAAGAAUUCUCUAUUUAAAAGGCGGACAAAAAAGAUUGCUUGAAUGUAACCAUUUUCUAUCUCCAACUUUAAUAUUAUAAGUUUGAGUCAUCAAGAAAGCUUCAAGAAAAACAUUUAAAAUAAGUAGUGAAAUGACAAUAUAAAAAAUAUUAUCACUAAUUCAUCCUCCUUGAUUAGUAUUUUGGAUGACUUGAUACUUAUGGUUGCGUUGUCUGCACAUUAUAUUUUCUUCAAUAAGUACAAUAAUAUUCCAUACCACCUUGACCUUAGUGUACGUGUCAACCAUAAAGAUUGCAUUUAUAAUAUGGUAAUUAUUACUCUGUAUAAUAAUGUUUUUCAUUUUGAAAAAUUGAUUAAUAACUAAUUAUUUUAUGUCAAUUUGAAAUAAUCGCUUCAUUUCUUUAUAAGCUUUCCUUUCGAGUUGUUGAUUUUGUUUUCAAAUAUAUAGAAGUGCAUGUUUAAGAUUUCAAAAAUACUUUGAUCGUAAUCUUCCAUAUAUGUCCUUGGAUUUAAAUAUAGUAAUCAAUGUCAAUAUGAAAAGAGAUAAAUUUAAUUAGGGAUAAGUUGGUAAUGUUAUUUUUAAUUUUUAGAAGUGAGUAGUUUAUUAAAGGAGCAAUUAGCCAAAAAUAGCGCUUAUUUAGAAAUAGAAAAGUACUAUUCAUUACCUAAUGCAUUUUUUAAAAUACUAAAUUUACUAUAUUCAAAAGAAAUAUAGUAAAAAUUAUAUUUAUUAUUUGUGUUAAAUUAAUACUGAACAGACAAAUAAAGAUAAACGGAAGAAAUAGCUUAGAAAUGCAGCAAACUCAAUAAUUGAAUUUAAUGAGUUCAUAAUUGUACUCCCUCCGUAUAUUUUUAUUUGUCACAAUUUGACUUGACACACUCAUUAAGAAAAAUAAUUAAUAAUAUAAUUAUUUUAUAAUAAUAUUCUUAUUAAAUGAUAUUUACAUUGUGUGUUAAAAUUGAUUUGGAGAAAAAAUAAUUAAUAUUAAGAAUAAAAUAAAAAAAUUAUAUUUUCUUGAUAUGUUCAAAAUGACAAGUAAAAGUAGAAAUAUAAUUCAAACAUUUAUGAUAAGUAAAUGCUAAUGAAAUGAGUAUAAGACAAAGGAAAUAAUAUACAUGAGUUUCAUAUUUUCAUUGUUCAGGAUGUUAAUUGGAGUCGUAUUAAAAUUUUGCUUUCGGUUCAUCUUUAUUUCUCCAUCUCCUAAACUAAAAUUGACUAUAUGUUUCAUUGUACCAAAAAGAGUGUUACAAAUCAAUUAAUAGUGUUACUUCCUCUAUUUUAUUUUAUGUGUCGUUAUUUUCUUUUUGAUCAAUCCCAAAAAAAUAUCAUAUUUUUUUAAUUUGAUAAUUAUUUAAUGGUAUCAUCCCCAUUUUAUCCUUAGUGUAUCCUACUUUAUAAAAAAAGACAAUUACAAAGUAAACUUUAAGAGAAACAAUUUUAUAAACUUUACAAAAUCAUCAUUUAUUUCUUAAACUAUGUGCCCGGUCAAAUAACGCUACAUAAAAUGAGAUGGAGGGAAUAUUAUUUUUUUCAUAGGGUGAUAUUAGUAAAUUUAGUAUAACGUGAGUUUAAUAAAGUAUAUCUCUAAUUAAAUUUUUCUUAAAAGAUAGAGAUAAACAUUCAGUGCUUCCUUAAACUAUGAUCAAAGAUGCUAUGACACACUCCUGAACUCAAUUUUAGAAUAUUUUUAUCACCCUUUAUACUGAUGUGACAUCUUUAGUAUAUAAAAAUGAGAUCCACAUCAAAUGUGCCACGUCAGUUAAAAAAGAUGACAAAAAUACGCUAAAAUUGAGUUUAAAUAUAAUAGAAUCCUGUGAAGUUGAAGUAUGUCCCAUCAAAUUUAGUCAUAGUCCAAAGAAACUAGAUGCUUUGUUGUAAAAGAUAUGCAAAGUACACAUGAGUCAAGUAAUAUAAAAUAAAGAGAGAUUCAUUAAAACAAUACAUAUGAUAUGAUAUAUUGUGAAACAAUACAAAACAACCAUCCAUUCAAAUUGCAAUAGAAUUAAAGCACCACAACCCCCACCCCCACGCACCCCCACCCCACCCAACAAAACACACAUAUACAUAGCAAUCACUUAGAAAUAAUUAAAAUAUCUAAGUUUUGGGAUCAUUGUUAAUUUGCUUAAUUAAACACCAACAAGAUUAUGAUUAUCAUGAUUCAUGAUAUAGUCAACAAACAACAUGGAGUUGAUGUCUUUAAGGGUGUAUUUGGAAUUUGUAAAAUCAUCCCCUUGGAGAAUUUCUACUAGACGUGCAAGAUUUAUUGCAGGUUCUAGGACAAUCGUUGGUACUUGCGUUGCACGUAAAUAUUCGGCGUUUAUGUCUUUCCAUGCAUUUGCUAUUUCUUUCCAUAUCUCAACAUACACAUCUUGUUCGAAGCUCCAUAUUAUUUUAUGUAGCAUUAGACGAAUGAAGCUCCAUGUUUUUUUUGUUGUUCGUGUUGCAUCAAAUGUAUGGGUUUCUGUAUUGAUGUCCCAUAGAACUAUACAUUCAAGAGUUACUGGUCAAAAACACAUAUAGGCUAUCAUUUUAUAGUGAAUUUCAUACAUCAACUGCCCCUUAUUCCUUUUACCUAUGUAAAUUAUCACUGUUCAAGUGAAAGUUUAAUUGUAUAUAAUUGUUUAUUAUUAAGACUUGACAUAAAUAAGUCGUGCAAUUGUUUUAAAUAGGAGUCCUUAGCAGUGAUAAUUUUGGAGUUUUAUUAUGUGUGUAUAUAUAUAUAGAUAAUUUAUAAUAUAUUAAAGGUGUGUAGGCCAUUUGAAAAGUGAUUUGAACUUUUUACCCUUUAUUAAAAGACUCUUUUUUAGAUAAAACUGUCUUUUCACUAUUUUUAAUUUAUUAUUUAAUUAUUUUUUAUCAUAUUAAUUAGACUUCCUAAAAUCUAUGGGAAUAAUAAUAAAAUGUUGCUAUUCCAACUAGAUUCUUAGUACAACUCCAACGUUUCAAAUAUAGUAACCAAAAAUUUGAUUUACUUUUCCCUAAUUAACUUUAAUUGUAUUGAAGACCCGCAAAAAAAUUCCUUUUUUAAAUAUGAACAACUUUUCUCUUCGGAUUUAUUUAAAAAGUUUCUUCUUGAUUUUAUUUUUUUUGCCUUAUAAAUCUCCUUCCAUUUUUUUGUUGUUAAUUUAAAUAAACUAUUAACAAGUUGAAUAUUUCUUAAUUUUUAAGAUGAAAUAUUUUUCUCAUAAUCUUAAAUUUUUAGAUCUACUUCUGUAUGUAAGUAAUUAUUGAUUGACUUUUAAUAUUCUUAUGCAGGUGAAACAACAUUACACUGAAUGUGUGAAUGAGACUUUGUAUGUGUACGAGCAAAUUUGAAGAUAAGUAUUUUUUCUUGAAAUUUAUUUUUUGAUCAUAUUUUUUUAAACUCCUCCUUGAUGUAUUUUUUUUAAUUUUACCUUAUAAGUCUAUUUUCUAUUAUUUUGUUAUUAGUUUAAAUUGGGCUAUUAAAAAGUUGAAGAUCCUUUAAUUAUUAAGAUGAAUUUAUUUUCGUUCAUAUUGAUACUAAUAUAUUUUUUUUUAAAUUCCUCCUUGGUGCAUUUGUUUUUUUUUUACCUUUAUAAAUCUUUUUUUUUUAUUAUUUUGUUAUUAGUUUAAAUUGUACUAUUAACAAGUUGAAAAUUCUUAUAAAUCAUUCAUAUCUAAGUUGGUUUGAUUCUUUUAGUAUAUUAGACGCUUACGUUAUCGUUGUGCCUAAUGUAUAUAAGUUGGAGUUAAAAUUUUGGGACUCAUAAAUCACAUGAAAAAAGUUUUUUCUUCUUACAAUUUACUUCUUGUGAUUAGUUUUUUGUUUAAGAAUGUUAAAGACGAGUUGUAUAAAAUGGUGGUUAUAUUGGUUAUAUUGUAUGGAACGUAUAUGAUGUAAUUUCAAUUUAUCGAAAACAUUAACUUAGAUAGGAGGUUAUGAUUAGGAUAUACAGUUUAUCAGAUAGUUUCGUUAGCGUUAUCUGGCGUAUUCGCAUUACUAUUGGCAUUAAGAAUGAAAUCGUUAAUAAUGUUGCGAUUAUUAUCAUGCUUUUUAUAUUCAAGUAAUUUUAUAAAAUUGAGCUCAUUAAUAUUAUAUAUAUAUAUAUAUAUAUAUAUAUAUCUUCUAUAAUUUAUUAAAAGUGUGAAAACCCUUAGAAAAGUUAUUUGAACUUUUUGCAUUUCAUUAGAAGACUGUGCAAUAGACAAAAUAGUCUUUUCACUAUUUUUCUUAAAAAAUUAUUUAUUAUUAUUUAUUAUUUAGUACUUUAAAUUAAUUAAAACCUCUACUUAAUCUAGGUAAGACAUCAUAAUAUUUAACACUUCUAAAUCAAUUACAAUUCUACUUAAAUAGAUAAGAAUAUCUAUAAUUUUAUUUAAGUUAUAUUUUGACUCACAAUUUCGAUGUGCUUUCUAUUAGGAUAUCUCAUCCGACAUGUGAGUUUGCAUUUUAUAUAAAAAAAAUUGAAAAAAUAUAAUUGUGAAUUAUUUGAAGAUUAUUGAGUAGGCAGUUUUUAAUUUUUUAUUGUUACGCAUUCUAUUUUCACUUUGUGGAAUUUUACGAGACAUUGAUUAUGUUGUUAUUUUAUUGUCAAGCAUUAUAUUAGAGUAUGACUUUUCAAAUUAUUCCGCAAAAUAUUAUUGGUUGGAUAUAAUAUUUAAAUCCUCAUACUUAAACAUCAAAUUAGUUCGAACUAAAACUAUAACUGAUCAUUCAAAAACGUAAAAACUAAUUAAAAAAUGUAUUUCUACUUUAAAUUCUUCCACUGAUUUGCAUCUUUUUACUAUAUUUCUAAAAUAUUUCAUUAUUUACUUAUUAUUCUUAUAUUUAUGACUUAAAAAUUAAUUAACGCCCUUACUUGAUCUAGGUAGAAAAUUACAAUUUUAACACUCAUAAAUUCAUUAGAAUUUUACCUUAUGUAAAUUUAUAUCUAUAUCUAUAAUCUAUAAUCUAUAUCUAUAAUAAUAUAUUAAAAGUGUGAAGAUGCUUAGAAAAGUGAUUUGAACUUUUUACUCUUCAUUAAAAGACUUUCUUUAGAUAAAAUUAUCUUUUCACUAUUUUUUAAAUUUAUUAUUUAAUUAUUUUUUAUUAUAUUAACUAAACUUUCUAAAAUAUAUGGGACUCCUAAAAUAUAUGGUAGAAAAAUUAAUUAAUAUUUUUCUUUCUACUUUUAAUUAGAAAAAUAGUCCUAAAAUAGGACUCUAUUAAGAAAAUACUUCUAUAAAUAUUGAGAUGUACGUUAAACCAGCGAACAAAUCGGUUUGCCUAUUGGAAGAAUAUGAUUGAUGCUCAUCUAACUUAAUCCGAUUGCAUGUCUAGAUUGGUGGAUGUUUGAUUUUCUAAGGCUCAAUUUCUUUACUGUUUUUGUCAGCAUAAUAGAAUUCAACAUGUGUAUAUAUGUAUAUAUAUAUAUAAUAAGAAUAAAGGCAUGGGUUGCUGAUGGUGUUAAUAAUCGGAAAAAUUACAGAAACUAGCAUCCUUAAGACUAUAAGAAUACAUGUUUCAAUUUUAUCGAAUAUUGAAGAACCUCGGGAUUAAACUUAGUCGUGGAGGAAAAAAUUAGGUGUCAACAAUAUCGGUAUUAGUUUGUUAUUUUGUGGUAGUUUACGAUUCGUAGAUAAACCUCGAUCGACUUUGAGAAAUUUUUGUACAUAAAAUUUAAGUGUAAUUGUAUUGUUUUGAUAUCACGUUUAUCAUAUUAUUUUGUUGCAGUGUACAGGCGAUAGAUAAAUGUUGGUCGGCUUUGAGGAAUAUUUUUAUAUAAAGGUUAGAUUUAGUUAUAUUAUUUUGAUAUCUCUAUUAUCGUAUUAUUUUGUUAUUCUUUACGGGUGGUAAAUAAGUGUCGGACGACUUUGAGAAAUUUUUUUUGUGCAAAGAUUAGAUUUAAUUGUGUUAUUUGAUAUCUCUAUCAUUGUAUUAUUUUGUUGCAAUUUACAGAUUGUAGAUGAAUAUUGAUCGACUUUUAAAAUAUUUUUUGGUAAAGAUUAGGUUUAAUAAAUAAAUUCUUCAUCUUGACAUACUCAAAAGAUAUUAAAUCUAAUUUUAUAUUCAUCUUUAUUAUUUAAAUAAUUAUCCUCUUUAAUUUAAUGUUUGAACUCAUUAAAGUGAAGUACACAUGCAAGACGCGUACACCUAAACUAGUAAUAUUAAAAGUGUGAAAACCUUUAAAAAAGUGAUUUGAGCUUUUUGUCAUUCAUUAAAAGUCUCCGCAGUAGACAAAAUUAUCUUUUUCACUUUUGUCUUAAAUUAUUAUUAAUAUAUAGAAAUAAUUUUAAAUUUAUAAAAUUCAUCAAAUUUGUUUUUCUUAUACGAAUUUUGCUAGAAUUAGAAUCUUUAUCAUAUAUUUUAUGACUCCUUACCAUAUGUUUUAGAAUUCCUUUAUUAUUAAUUCUACUCUUAUACUCAACCAAAACCAACUCAAACUAAACUUUCACUUAAACCAAUUAAAAUUUAAUUUUUGAAAAGUUGUCCAAAUAUUACUGUAGUAAAAGUUUUUCAGAUAUAGUAUAGUACGUGUGAUUUUUAACUAGGAUUUUAUUUUUUUAAAAAAAGCUAUUUUUAAGGACUUCUAUUUUGGACUUUCUUUUUUAAAAUCAAAGUUGGUUUAGGAUUUUUUUUUUUUUGAAAAAAUAAAUCAACACUAUACAUUAUUUAGGUCUUUAAUUAAUUAACGUCCUUAUUUUAUGUAGGUAAUAAAUCAUAAUAUUUAACAAUUCUAAAUUGAUUAAAAUUUUACCUUAUAUAUAAAAAGAAUGUCCACAAUACUAUAAAUAAUAUUUUCAAUCAAACUUUACAAGAAAUGUAAAGAUUCGGUUUCUUCUACUUUUAGUUUUCUUCUUAUUUUGAUUCAAGUUAUAUUCUUGCGUUCAUUGUUUUUAUUCUUUACGUCUUCCUUUAUUUGGUGUAGCCAAGAGUUUUUAAGACAUGCUAACUACUUGAAUAUUUUUAAUUGUUGAGGCUUUUUAUACUCAUCAUUGUGUUAUGAAAUUUUUAAGUCACUUUUAUUUUUGUCUUUAUUUUAACAUGUUCCAAAACUAAUUUAAAAACUAUUGUACGUAGAGAAAAAAAUAGAUUUAUGUAUAAAUUUUUCUAUCCAUUGAAAUCUUGGUAAUAUCCAUGAUAAUUGAAGAGCUAAAUUUGAUUGUGAUUUGAGGUAAAUUUUUUAAAUUUUAGUACAACUUUGAUGUUUACAAUAAAUAAAUUAUUCUCUGAUCUUGAUAAACAAUUGUUAAUUGAGAUUUUUUUUUUAAAUGCAGAAUCUUGAUAUAUCUUAUGAUUGAAGCGACAAAUUUGCUUGUAAUUUGAGGUAAACUUUCUAAAAUUUUAGUAUGUUCUUGAAAUUUACAAUCAUAAAUUAUUUCUUGAUAGACAAAUGUUAAUUGAGAAUUUUUUUGUUUGUUUGUGAAAUGUUGAUAAUAUCUUUAAUUGAAGACAUUCCGUCACAACAAAUCGAUUAAUCAUUCUAAUCCUUUUGGAAGUCUUGCUUAAAAUUUAAUCAUAUGUAACUAUUUUAAUUGUGAAUCAAUUAUUUAAUAAUUGACUCUAAUGAUUCUCUGUUUUUUUUUUUUUUGAACAAACUAUAUUAUUUAAAUUGAUAUAAUGCUACUUGUUAAUACUUUUACUCUUUCAUGUAUAGUUUGAUUGAUGAGAGACACACGUGCAAAGCACGUACACUAAAAGAUUAGAAUAUUAAUGUAACAACGUAAUGAAGUGUAAGGCAGAAUACAUAUAUAUUUUACAUGGUAUCAGAGCCAUUGGAGGUUAAACUAACCCAUUUUUUUCUUCAAUAAACACACCUAGAUGUUGAAUUCGUCAAACUAAUAUUGCUCUCACUGAAAAACAAGCGCGUAUAGGCCUACCUAGCAUUCAGGUGUAUUUUAAUACAAAGAGAAUGAUGUAAUUUAGAUAGUAAAUGAAAUUAACUAUAAUUGAAGCAUGAAACUCUCAAAAAUAUCAUAUGAUAGUUCAAAUAUGCUACUGACCAUUAACGUUACAUUUAAACAUAUCUUUUUUUAAGUUCAAACGACAUAUAUGUUCAACAUAUAGACUUACUUCAUGUCCAAUAAUAUCAUCCUUUAAUCUAUUGAUUAGUGAUGAAGUUGGAAGAACCAAAGAGUCAUUUAAGAUCCAUUGGAAAGUCUCUUUGGCUACAAAUUCCUCCAUAACUAUCAAACAAGUAACCACAACCAUUGGAAUGGCAAUUGUUAAAGUAGAACAAGUUAUAUAUAUAGAAAGUUUAAUUACCUCAAUUUUUGCACAGUGUACACAAUCUAAUUUACCAUAUUUGGUUGAUUCUUCUACCAUUUCAUCAAAGUAAUCUAAAAAGACUUGAUAAUGAGGUCUCAUGUAGGGCGGUAUCGAAUCCAUUGCACCAAUGUCGCAUCUACAUAUGCAUAAAUAACAUUUAUAUUUCUUAUUCAACAAUGUAAAUAACAAAGAACUGAUAAUUAAGUUUUGUAGUUUCGCCUUUCGACUUCACCAAUAAAAGGCACUAGUUCGUCAUAAGUUCCAUAAGCAUCAUAGCGACUAAUUUUGCUAACGUUCUUCUUGUACGUCUAUACUGAGGCUCAUAAUACACUCCCGUUGCCCAAUUGUGUGUCUUGCAUAUGCAAAAUUGUUUACAGGAUCUAAAUCUUUCCACCACCACCUAUAAUAUGUAUACACAUGAAGUAUAUAUGUAUAUUCGUGUGAUUAAUUAAAGAAGAUACAUAUGUAUGUACCUUGUAAGUUCUCAAAGCUCUCUUUGAUGCACCUUUUGCACAAUGUGGAAAUCCGAUUUCGCAAAUCAUCAUGUGAUUCGAUGUUUUCGUAUAUACGUAUGUAUUUUCUUGCUGCCACUCUUGGUACAUUUAUAUAAAUGGGCUGGAUCAAGGCUUCACUAACUUGGGCCUUGUGUGAGUUGUCCAAUUUAGGGCCCAUAGACUCGAGAUGAGUUGUGGUAAAAGUUGGAUCUUCUUCAAGAAUGUCUUCAUCGUGUACUCUUAGAUCUGUUAUUACUGCAAGUGGGGUCAUUUUCUCUGAUUUGUUAUUACUGUUUCUUUUGUUUUCAAAAUUUCUACUCUGAAAUUACUUCCCCUUUUUUUUCUAGAUACUCAAUCUUCAGAGGAUUUUGUGUAAUUGCUAUAUAUGCAAGGGUGUAUAAAAUGUGUAUAGAAAAUUUAUAAUUAUUGUAUAAAAUAUGUAUGUGUAUUAGAUUUUAUGGAAUAUAUAUAUAAUGUAUAUAUACGCUGUAUAUUGUGGUGUAUAAUAUGUAUCUGUAUGAGCUCUCUAUGGAAACUACAUAGGAUAUGUAUAGAAAUUGUGUAAUUGUUGUAUAGAAUGUGCAUCUAAAUAAUUAUUGAUCUAAAUAUCGUAUAGGACAUGUAUAUAAAUUAUAUAAUUAUUGUAUAAAAUAUAUAUUUGUAUAAGAUUUUUAUAUAAAAUAUAUAGAAUGUGUAUAUAAUCUGUAUCAUUGUUUUGUAGAAUAUAUAUCUGCAUAAGAUCUCUAUGGAAACUGCAUAGGAUAUGUAUAGAAACUAUAUAAUUGUUGUAUAAAAUAUGUUUCUAAAUAAUUAUUAUAUCCAAAUGUUGUAUAAGAUGUGUAUGCAAAUUGGAUAAUAAUUGUAUAAAAUAUGUAUGUGUAUAUGAUGUGUACAGAAGUCAUAUAAUUAUUCUAUAUAAAAUGUAUCGGUAUAGGAUGUGUAUAAUAUAUAUAUAUAUAUAUACACGUAGGUUUGUGUAGACAAACUGUAAAAUUGAUGUAUUGUCACGACCCGAAUCAGGGUUUUGCCGUGAAAGGCAUCCCAAGUCCACCGAGGACUGGAGACCGCCCCCUGAGCCUAUUCCAUCACACUAAGAACACCUAAUGGCAGAUGAAUACCAAUAAAUGAUAAAAUAUAAUUAGAAAUUCAAGAAGAAUCUAUGAUGGAUCAAUAUUCGAAAACAUCCACAAUACCCAUGUCCACAGUAUCCAACAAAGCCUCUAACAAAAUCGGACAACAAUAAAAUGUCUGGACAUGCUCUCGACUACAGCCAAAAAUAAGUCUAAACAAGUCUAUGACAUAAGGGACCAAAACAUGAAAUGUAGACUUCCGAUGUAUGGAAGCGCACCACUUCAAUGUAAACUCACGAAUUGCUCUCGAAUCCUAGUCACUGUUAGGAGAAGUAGAAGUAUGGUAAAAUACUGCAUCGCAUGGGGAUACAACGUCCGAAGACGGUUAGCGGUUGCAGCGCUAGCAUGUAACUCAGGGCUAGUGAUAGUGAUUCAUAUUUUUGAUUUAUUUAUAAUUUUUUUGAUACAUUUAACAUAUGAAAGACAUAUGUAAAUUAUUUAUUUUUGUAUGAGAUUGAAUUUUUAAUGGGUAUUGAGUAAUUUUACCAAAUAUAUCAUUAAUGAUACAUACCAGAUUAUUUAUUUUUGUAUGAGAUUGAAUUUUUAAUGGGUAUUGAGUAAUUUUACCAAAUAUAUCAUUAAUGAUACAUCUGGAACCAGAUGUAUUAUUAUGAUACAUCUGAAAUCAGAUAGAUUUAUACCAUGAUUUUCGCCUAGUUUUACUCCCUGUAUUUAUUGAAAAUCAGUUACUUCCUUAUUUAACUAACCACUAAAUUACAAAUGUAUCACAAUGCAUAUGUAUCAAGGCUAAAAAUAUGAAUCAAAAAUAUCAAAAUCCGGGAUAUCAUGUAAUUAAACAAGAUUAUGGGAAAAAGUGUUAGAACCCAUUAUAUAUACAAGGUAGUUUUUUGCGCCCCUGUUUGCGUCGCCUCUAACGGGUGCUGGAGUACCACAAAUUUUCACGUAGCCAUAGGUCUGACCCUGGGGCAAAUACAGAUGCACAUUUUCAUGUCCUUGCCUUGUGGUGGGUAUGAAUUCUGAUGCAAUUGUUAUUAGCAAGUGAAAAGUUAAAACGAAAGAAUAACAAUUGAUGAAGCUAAUGACUGUUGAAGGUGAUUCUUAAAAGUUUACUCCUUACAUUCUUUCUUACUUGUCACUGUUUCAUUUUUGAGAGUCACAACGAUAUGAACUUUGAUCAACAUUUCAAGUACUUUUUCAUUAAAUUGAAAUGAAAAAAAGAAUUGAAACUUAGAGUACUUUUCAUAUAGUUUUUGAAUAUCGACAUUUUAUUUUUAAAAUAUUGAAUUAAGAGGGCAAAUGUCAUUAGUUUUUCAAACCCAAGAAAUAGAACAUAUCAAAAGUGAUGAUAAAAUAGGGAUGUCAAGUGCUCCAGUAUAUGCAUACAUAUACAGCUUGUUCGGAUGGUUGUUACCUAUUGUGUUGUACUGUGUUAGAUGUUUUAAUAUAAUUUUGACUUGAUUGUUGCUUAAAGUUUAUUGUACUGUAUUGUUUAGUGAUGAUGAAAUGUCCCAUCUAUUACUUAAUAAUUUUUUAAAUCCUAAUUUAGCCUAUAUUAGUUUUAUUGUAUACCCCUAUCCCUACUUUUGAUCUUCUAGAGUUUUCUUUUAAAUUAUUAAUAUGUGACAUUAUAAUACAACAACAAAAGACACAAUCUAUUUAACUGAUUGUAUUGAUACGACACGUUAGGAAACAAUACAUAACAACUAUCCAAACAAAGUAAAAGAAAUAUGAACGAAAAACAACACACAGUAACAGGACUCAUGCAAACUUUAAUGGAAUUAAAGCAGCAACCCCCCGCUCCUCCCUCCUUUAUUUCUAAGUUUUGGAAACAUUAUUUGCCUCAAAGGUACAUUCAUUAUCCAGAUGAUGUACUAUAGACAGAGUCCACAAACAGCAUGGUGAUCACGUCUUUAAGGAAGCUUUGUGAAUCUGUAAAAUCAUCCUUUUGGAGAAUAUGUACGAGACGUGAAAGAUUUAAGGCAGGUUCGAGGACAAACGUUGGUACUUUAGUAACACGUAAAUACGCCGCGUUUAUGUCUUUCCAUGCAUUCGCGAUUUGCCUCCAAGCCUCACCACACGCCUCUUGUUCUGAAACUCUAUAUUCUUUCAUGUAGCAUUCGAUGAAUGAAGCUUCAUGUUCUCUUUGUUGUUCGUGCUACAUCAAAUAUAAUACAUUUUAGUAUAGUAUGAUGUUUCAACAUUUGUUUUAUUUUCAAAUAAUAUGUAUAUAUACUUACUUCAUGUCCAAUAAUAUCGUCCUUCAAUCUGUUGAUUAGUGAUGAAGCUGGAAGAACAAGAGACUCAUUUAUCACCCAUUCGAAAGUCUCUUUGGAUAUAAAUUCCUCAGCAACAAUCAAACUAGUUAUCAGAAUCAACUGAUUGGAAACUGUUAUAGUAGCAUUUCUCUUAUAGUCCUCACAUUUUGGACUAACGCCAUAUCUCAACCAUUCCGCUUCCUUAAGAUAGCUUUUCGUCCACUUAUUCGUCUGAAAAUGUAUAUUACAAGGGUUAUAUGUGUGUGUAUACGUAUAUAUACAUAUAUUUGCGCAUAAAGAGGUCUCAUAUAGGGCGAUAUCGAAUCCAUAGCACUAAUGUCACAUCUGCACAUGCAUAAAUAACACAUAUAUUUCUUACUCAAAAAGGUAGCGGGGAGUAAUUAAGUUUAUAUGUAGUUAUUCACCUCUCAAUUGCUUCGGUGAAAGGCACAAGUUCGUCAUAAGUUGCAUAAGCAUCAUAGAGAUCAUCAGUGAUGGUGAUGAUAACGAUUAAUUUUGUUAUAGUUCUUCUUGCAUGUCUGUAUUCAGGCCUAAAAUACACCCCCGUUGCCCAAUGGUAACACUCCACAAAUUUGUCUCUUGCAUAUGGAUAUUUGUUUUCAUGAUCCAAAUCUUUCCACCACCUAUAUAUAUGUAUGUAACAUGUAUAUUAUAUCACGCGAGCUAUAUACCAUAUUCGUAUGAUUAAUUAAAGAAGACAUAUAUACAUGUACAUACCUUGUAAGUUCGCUAAGCUCUCUUUGAUGCACCUUUUGCAAAAUGUGGAAAUCCAAUUUUGCAAAUUUUAAAAGCAAAUCAUCAUGUGAUUCGAUGUUUUCGUACAUACGUAUGUAUUUUUUUGCGUCCACUCUUGGAACAUUUGUAUAAAUGGUCCGGAUCAAGGCUUCACUAACGUGGGUUUUAAGUGAGUUGGUCAAUUUUGGGCCCUCGGACUUGAGAUGGGUGAUUGUAAAAGUUAGAGCUUCUUCAAGAAUGUCUUCAUGGUGUACUCUUACAUGUGCUGCUUCGUACAAACUUAAUAAUCCUAGCACAUCGUUAGUAAUAGUUUCCUUGAACUUGCCAUCAUUGUUGGUGAAUUUCUUGAACACAUCUGAUUAAUUAUUAUCAUGUUGAGAUAUUAAAUGAUUUAAAAAGACAUAUGCCCAAUUAAUGGAAGUAUAUAUAUAUAUAUGCACAUACAUUCACCUAUAUGUGUGUGCCCGUGUGUGUGGGGACGCGCGUUUGUGUGUACAAGUAUACGUAUAAAUACACAUACAUACAUAUAUAUAAUUCUUGAUAAUGAGAUUUGAUAUGAUUCUGUUGUUCCAUGUCUCAAUGUAGAGAAAGUGUAUAGGUGAUCCUUCAUCGGUUGUUCCUUUGGAAGAAUUGGGUGUUUUGGAUUCUUUGUCCCAUGAAGAGAUCCUUCCACCUUCUCCAAGUCUCUUAUGGAAGAUAGAGUCAACUCUACCAGUCUACCUACAUCUAUCUAAUUCCUAAGUGCAAAAAUGCUUUCUUCUCUUAAGAAUUUUAGACUCAUAGAGCUUUGUAAUACCAGUACAAAAUUAUCACCAAAAUAGUUGCCAACAGAAUCAAGCCCUUUCUUUAGGAUAUUAUUGGGCAUAAUCAAGCCAGCUUCCUCUCCUCUAGAAGAGCUGUAGAUAAUGUUAUUAUUGUUCAAGAGUACUUGAAUCAUUUCAAUAGAGUGACCGGUAAAAAAGGGAAUAUACUUCUAAAGAUAGACCUUGAGAAAGGCUUUGAUAGGCUUGAAUGGUCUUUCAUCAGACAAGCUCUAUUCUUCUUUAACUUCUCCCCACCCUCUUUAGAUUUAUUAUGUCCCGCAUCUCCACAUCCUUUAUCUCUGUUCUUGUUAAUGGAAGCACCACCCCCAACUUCAAGCCUACUAGGGGCAUUAGACAGGGAGACUCCAUGUCCCUCUAAUUUUUUUAUCCUUUGCAUGAAACUUCUCUCUAGGAGAAUUAAUCAUAAGUAGACAUCCUUAAGUAGACCCCCAUUUCUAUCAACAGAAAGGGCCCCCUUAUCUCUCAUCUUUUCUUUGCUGAUGAUAUCACCCUCUUUGCCAGGCCUGAUAGAGGCAACUGCUUUACUAUCACAAAUAAAUAUCCUUCAAAGUUUCACUGAUCACUCGGGUUAGAAGGUUAAUCUUGCCAAAAGGUUUUUUCUCCAAAAACUACAACCUUGCCACCCAAUAGGAUCUCUCUAGCAUUCUAGGCACUAAACCCAAUUCCAGCUUUGGAAAUACUUGAGAUUUCCUAUGUUCCAAUUCACUCCUAGGGCUAAUGACUUUCAAUUUAUCAUGGAGAAUAUGAGUAGUGAACUAGUGGGGUGGAAAAUCAAUUUUCUUAACAUGACUGGCAGAACUAUCUUAGCUAAAACCUCUCUAAGUGGGAUGCUAAUCAUGUGAAGCAGUAUAACUUCUUUCCUGGGAGAAGUUUUAAGCUUACUAAUAGAAUUCAGAGGAACUUCACAUGGGGGACCACUAAUUCUUAGAAGAAAAUGCAGAUAGGACACCAUAACUAAGACAAAGAGAGAUGGUGAGUUAGGUAUGCAGAAGGCUAGUAUUAAGAAUGACACUCUUCUUUGUAGCUUGGCUUGGAGGAUCCAUUCCACUCCCUCCUCACUUUGGGCUAUUGUCCUUACUAAUAAGUACAGAAACAAUUUGGAUAAUCCCACUCCCUAUGUCUUUAGAAUUUCGAGGAAUAUCUCUAGAAGUUGGACCUUAUGUAGGAAUGAUAUUCAGUGGGGUAUUUAUAAUAGUAAUAAGGUGGAUACUUGAAGGGACAGAUGGAUUCCUAAUUGACACCCUUUGCCAGCUUAUCUAGGGCCCUCUUCUAAAUUCCUGCCCUCCCUCCUCUUUAUUUCAUAUUUGGAACAAUGGGAAAUGAAAUCUUAGUUUCCUCCCAUUUCAAAUUCCCUAGCUACCAAGCAUAUCUUCUUCCUAAUCCUAAGCUGAAAACUAACUCUCCUUUUUGGAUUUUGAUUGACAAGGAUACUUUUUUCUGCAAGAGUGCUUGUUUUCACUUAAGCAGGAGAGAGUCUAACUCCGAUCCCCUCCACCUCUUCUUGGAAUUGGAUCUAACACACUCGUAUCCCUAACAAGUUACAAUUCUUUCUAUGACUGAUGCACUACAAAAGUCUUUCUACAAGAGCCAUUUUGGCUCAUAGGGGCGUAAAUAUUAACCCCCCUGCCUAACUUGCAACCACCCCUCCGAGGAUAUCCCUCAUAUCUUUUUUUAUUGUAACUGUGCUACUUCCUUUUGGACUGAUCUCAUUAAUUAUUAUAUGGGUAGCCUCACCAUCACUACUUAGCACUUUUCCCCUUCUCAUUGGGACAACACCAAAAAUACCUCCUCUAUUUCUCUUUCGACAAUUUGAUUCCUGGUCCGUCCUUCUCCCCUUCUACCUCUGGUAAAUCUGAAAGAACAGGAACAAUAAUCUCUAUAAUAAUCUCAAUUGUCAUCCCAGUAUUAACAAUGCCUAUUCUAAGGCUAUAGAGUUCUUCCACUUGAGCACCCUGCCCCUCGUCUUUCCAUCCUUGUUAGCUGGACCCCUCCUUCUAAUAAUCACUUCAAGCUCAAUACUAAUGGAGCUUGCCAUGGAAAUCCUGGAAAAUGUAUUAUUGGGGGAGUCAUUAGAGACUCAUUGGAUCUGGGGUUUCUUCCAAAGCUUCCAUUACACUAUUAAUAUCCAUAUGGAACUCUUAGCUUUACAUAAAGGUUUUGUUGUUGCUAUAGAACACCAUCUUUUUCAAUUGAAAUUACCAUUGAUUCCCAGCUGAUUAUCCUUAUGUUGCAGCACAGUCAUUUAUUAUGUAACCCUAUCCUUGAUGCUUGCAGAUCCUUGAUAAAAAGAAUGGGAGGUUCGUCACAGCUAUAAAUAGCAAAAUCGGGUUGUGGAUGCUUUGGCAAAAGAAAGAGUAAAGCAGAAUCAAUUUGCAAAUUAUAUAUUUUUGGAUGCCCCCCACCCCUUUCACUUUUUGUAGGCCAUGAUAUUUGGACGGAUAAGAUAGGAACUUGUUAUUGUAGGGACGUACCUUCAACUGUAGCUUCUAUUGGGCAUGACCUGUUUUUGUAACUGAGCUAGAUUAGGUUCAUGAACUCUGUUUAGUCCUUUUAAUCUAUGCACAUCUUCUUCAUAAAAAAAUAGUUAUAACUUUACAAAAGAUGACAUGCGUAUCGUCUGAAUAAUUAUUUUUUCAAUUGAUUUCUAGUUAGGAGUAUUCAUAAAUUAAAUUUUACUGUGCAUAAUUACACAUUUAACUAUAAGUGGAAAUGAAGAUAAGAUGACAUAGGUACAAGCAAUUAAUACUCGUCUGGAUAGUUAUUUUUCCAAUGGAUUUCUAAUUAAGAGUAUUCACAAAUUAAAUUUUGUUGUCUGUAAUUACGUAUCUAUAGAGCUGUCAAAAUGUGCUGGCCCAACCCAACCAAACUCUAGCGGGCUAGAGAAUUAAAUAGGCUAGGACGGGCUAGCCUUUUAAAUAAAGGACCUUUAAAAUAGCAGUUCAACCCAGUCCUAAGCGGGCUGCAGGUCGAAACGGGUUUGCCCUUCAUAAAAAUAAAAGCAACCUCAAAUAUGAUAAACGAAAAUAUUGUAAGUACUAGACUAUCACCAACUUUUAUGAUUUCACUUUAAAAUGUCUCCUACUAGUUUUUAGCAUGUUAUACGCAUCUUACUAUUACCUUUAAGGGUUAUUAGGUAAUUAAUCUCGAGAUUAGUUAUUCCACCAUGUAUACGGAUAAUUUAUCUCAUCACUAUGGUGUAAAUGGUGUGAUAAAUAAUUUUAAUACUAACUAAUACCUCACACCAAACAUGGGAUAAAAUAGUCCUUCAUUUUAUCCCGGACUAUUUAUCCCUUAUACCUCACACCAAACGAUCCCGUAGUUGUAAUUAGUUCAUGGCAUUUACUGUAAUAAGCAAAUAAAUGAUGAUUUGCUACAAAUAUCGUAGAAAAAUUCUAAUAUGGUCAAGAUAAUAAAUACAAAUAUACACAAAGUAUCUACAUAAAAGUUAUAAGACUAUAACAAAAAGAGCCUAAAUUUAAAGAACAGAAUAUUGCAUUAAGCAAAUGCAACAACUACUAAAGCAUCGCGAGUAAAAACAACUUUUUGAAUUUUACAACUAAAAGCAGCUUACGAGUCAUUUCAAAAACACACUAAGAAGUUUCAAAAAAUUAGUAUCAACCAAAGAAUGGAUAGAAAAAAUAAGUAGCUAGUUAGUAAAGAUUGACAAAAUUCUAAUUCCUAAUGAAAACAAUGACCAACUUAGAAAUGUUUAAUAAUUAUUCUUAAUGUCCCAGCCCAUGGGCUGGUCUCUGAGGCCGACGGGUUACGCCUCUGAGGCCGAUAGGCCAAGUGAGGCUGGCUUUAUAAGCCUCAUUUCUAAAUAGGCUGAAAAAACUUAACCCAACCUCACUUAAUUAAAGAAUUAAAUUGAUCCGGCCUCACAGGCCAAGCCCAUUUUGACAACUCUACCCAUCUAACUAUAAGUGGGAAUGAAAAUGUGUUUACUCUUUCAUUUGUAAUUGAAUUACCUCUAAGCUAAUUUAACUUGACUAUAUGUUCUUUUUUAGUUUUGAGUUUUAACAAAGCCACAUCUAACAAUAACAACAAUAUAUCCAAUAUAAUCUCACAAGUCAAAUUUAAGGACGAUAGAGUGUAUACAGACCUUACCUUUAUCUCUGUUUGUGAAAGACUCUCAGCUUAAAAGAACAUGUCAACAUUUGAAAAAAGGGAAUGCGGAUAUGGGAUUAAGUCUCAACUAAGUGAUAUAAAUAUUAUAUUUUCAGUUUAGUAAAACUUUUGAAUUCAUAAAGAUUAAAUUCUAAAUUCACCUCGGCAAUAAUUUUACAUUUGAGCAGAAUAACAUUAAUAUUGCAUAGUAUAAAUAGAGAAGAGAAGCGAUACCAGAAGACAUGUAAUGCCUUUGUUGUCUCACUAGUCUAAAACAAAGAGCAACAAAGUAAAGAUCGUCGUCAUCAUCUUCAUUUCUAUUCUGUUCGGACUCAUAAAAAAUGUUCUGAAUAGAUAUUUUGAUCUCAUUUUCGAAAUGAUAUCCCACUCCCAAUCGUUGGAUUGUGUCAAUCAAGACAAGUUUUUGUAUACUAUUAUCAGAAGUUUCCACUAAUAUUUGCCUCACUUUUCUUUCAACUCUUCAACUUCAUCUUUUCCUUGGCUACUAAUUUCCUGCCCAAAAAAUUAAUCUUUAGUAUUGUUGUACUAUCUUUUCAUAAAAUAACAACAAAUGCAAUACAACACCGAUAACAUAUUCAAUGUAAUUCUAUAGGUGAAAUCUAGGAAGGAUAGAGUUUACGCAUAUCUUUACCCUACCUUGUGAAAAUAGAGGUUGUUUCUGAAAGACCUCUACUCAAAUAAUGCAUAGCAAAUAAUUUGAAAAAAGAAAACUACAAAAGCAAAGAAGACAUAUAUAGCAAAUAAUAGGUUAUAUAUAGUAUUCAAAAAAACAAGCAACAAUAAUAAUAUUUAAAAAAAUAUGAUAAAAUAUAUAAUAAUACAAUAAUCGAACCACAUAUAACUACGGAAGGUAAAAAAAUCGUAGGAUCGGAUAAGAAACUACGAGACUAAUCAGAGGCGGAUCCAGGAUUCAAAAGUUCCGGGUGCCCCUUGUUUUGAACAAUAACGUAUACUUCGUACGAUAUUUUAGGAUAGUGGAGUCAAUAUUCAAAGAAUAAACUAUAAUUAUAUAUAUCAACAAAUGUUGGUAUUAGAUGAAGGUCUGCCUAGUUGGUAUUGUCAAGUACUUUGUAAGAAGAGGUUAAGGGUUCCAUUAUUCAUAGCCACGAUAUGUUUUUUUUUUAAGAGACAACAGAUAGUAUAGUGAUAAAAAUCAAUCUAAAAAACUGAAAAUACAGUGUUGAGCGGGAAUCAAAACCACGCUGCUGGAGUAAAACCCAACCAUUUCAACCACUUGCACCACCAAUUUCUUUAAUAUUGUGGGUGUCAAGCAUAAUAUUUAUACAUUAGCUGAUACAUAUAUACAUAAAUAUACAAAGUUUCAACCGAGAAGUGCGGGUACCGUGGCACCCCAAACCUUCUGCAUAGAUCCGCCCCUGAGAUUAAUACUAUACUUUUGAUAUGAACAGACAAACAAAUACGGUACAUCAAACUACCACGAAGCCUAUCCCACAGAAAAACGAGACGUAUAUGAGUGUAUGUGUACAUAACAUACAGUGAGUUGAGAGUGUAGGAGAGAAAAUAUUCUCCCCAAACACUUUUGUGAUAAUUUGCCAAUGGACGUUUAAUAUUGUUGGUAUCCAUCAUGGCUAAUUGGCUCAUAAUACCUUUCUCUCUCUAAAAUGAUUUUCCUUGCUUUAAUUUGAUAUAUUUGCUUCAAUAUGGUAAUGAGGGAUUUUAUAGUGUGUACCUGAGACAAUUUUCAACUGAUAGAAGUUAUCCAAAGGGCUUUCCCAAUUUAAUAUUCCCUCCGUACGUUUGUAUUAGUUGGUCGCUAUGAAUUUGACAACCUAUUGAGAAAACAAUGAAUAGAGAUGUAUUUUACAUAUUUAUUCUUGUAUGCCUUUUAAAGUUUAAUAAGUAAUUAAUAAAAUAAUUAAAUAUUAAAAUUUGUUACAUAUUACUCUAUUUUUACGAGGUAAGAUAAAGAUCUUUUCAAAAUUACUAUAUUUAUUACUUCUUGUUAAAAUUACUCUCUUAAUUACUACUCCCUUCGUUCCAUUUUACUCGUCUCAAAUUUUUAAAUUUGUUGUCCAAUUUUACUUGUCCUUUUUUACUUAUCAAGACAAGAUAAUUUUUUUUUCCAUUAUACCCGUAGGACUCGUUUGAUAGAGUGUAUAAGAUAAUACUGAAUAUGUUGUAUUAGUAAUAUUGGGAUUAGUAGUGUAGGGAUUAGUAAUACUGGGAUUAGUAAUACUGAAAUUAUUUUUUAUGCAGUGUUUGGUUUGAUGUAUUAAAAACAAUAUGUAUUGUUAAUUUUAAAAAUAAUAUUGUUUGUUUACAAAAAUACCCUCGACAUAUUAUAACUUUGUGUAUUUUUUUUGUAAAAGUUUAUUAUUCUUUUUUUAAAAUAAAAAAAGUUAACAAUAUAACUAAUUAUUUACUUUAGAAUUUUAAGAUUUAAUCAUUCACUUACAAAAAUUAUUUUUUAAUUAUCUUUUCUUUGUUUGUUCAUCAUUUGCUUGUUGUUCUCACUUUGUGUUGUUUUUAAGUUGGAGGGAGUUACGUAUAACUUUUGGAUGAGACAAUAAAAUCAUUAUUAAAAUAAAAUUGUAUUCUAUAGAGUGUUAAAACUAAGUAGAAAAAUUAUUUUUAUUUAUGGAUAUCCUAUUUACAAAAUUAAACCUUGUAUGCAAUUUGUUUUCGGAUUUUGACCAAUAAAUAUUUUUUUGAGUUAAUGGAGUAGUUUUUUUUACAACUAAAAUUAUUUGGAGGGAUACCAUUAUUUUGAUAAAUUGAAAAGAAGUAACUCAUAUUGAAUAAAUUGAAGAAGAUUUAGGAAAAAAUUAAAGAAAUUUGAGGAUAUUUUUGUAAAUAAUAAUAAAAUUUGUAAACUAAUUUAUUUGAAUAAAUUUAUUAGUACAAAUAUAAAAAAUAAAAUUAAGAAAAUAAAAAAAUAUUUAAAAGAAUUUGAGGGAUAUUUUUGUCUUUAUACAUACUAAUUCAUGGUAUUUAAACCCAUGUAUUACUAAUACCACCAUAUGUGAUGUAUUAGUAAUACACCCUAUAAUACCAUUUAGGCUGUAUAACUAAUACAUGGUAUUAGUAAUACAUUGGUUCAAAAUCCUACCAAACAUAGUAUUAAUUAAUAUCACACUUAAUACAUGAACUAUUUCUCCUGAUACGGCCUACCAAACGACCCCUUAGUGUAAUUGAUUAUUUCUUAUUAUUAGCAUUCUUGAAAAAUGUUGUAAAGAGGAGUACCAUUAAGAGUACACCAUUAAGAAUAUAAAUGGUGCUUUGAUAUUAGUCAGCCAUCAAUAUUGGAAUUAACAACAAGACACAAUUAAGAGGGACAAAAUGGUAAAGUUACAUUACCAAUCAUUAUUUUCUUAAUAGCUGUGUCAUCCCAAUUUGGGACAGGUAAAAUGGGAUGGAGGGAGUACUACAUUAUGUUUAGAAGAUUGAAUAUUUUUAAUUGAAACUAAUAAUAAUUUAAUUUCAAUUUUGAGAAUUAGAUCAUUUAUGUCACAUUCAAUAAUUUUGAAAACUGUGAAUGUAUUUAGUAUUCCUAUUAAGGAUUAAAAUGGUGACUGUCAUUUCCUUCCUUUUGUGUUUCAAGUAAUUUUUGAAGUCUUUCAACAAAGGUGUCAACUUCUCUAUUAUUGUAGCAACUUGAAAGACCUCGUUCACAAUCAAACCUUCAACAAGGAGAUUGUGGAUAAUAACUUGCAAUUCCUGUAGUUGAGAUACGACAAUCUUACUGUCAAUCAUUUUGUACUUAAGGAACCUUGUAACAAAGAACUUCUUAGUUCCAGCAUCCUCAGUCAUAUAUUUUCUUUCCGGUGCAUUCCACAACUCUUUUAAUGUCUUCAUUCCACUGUAAACGUUGUAUAUAUCGUCUUAGAGGCCACUUGAGAUAUAAUUCCUACAUAGGAAAUCAGAAUAUAUAUUUUCAUGUCUUUAUUACAAUAAACCGCUCCUUGUUCGAAGUUUCUUCGGGCAAUUCUGAAGCAUCUUCAGAUAUAUAGAAUAACAUUUUUUGUUGCUGCCGUUUAAAAUCUAUUUCAGAAAUUUUUUUGGCCUUUUCCGCUGGUACCAUAGCCAUGGCGCAGUUGUACGAUUGGUUGUAGCAACAUUCAUUGCUGCUACACUUGUCCCACCAUCAGACCAUCAAUAAUCAUCUUUCCUGUCAAAAAAAGACAGUCAAAUUUUGUAUAUCAAAAUGCUAAUUACAAGUUUGAAGCAACUUUAAUCACUACUUAUUUCUAGUUUAACGAUGAAGUUUUUAUGUCUUCUAAUCGUUAAUAGAAUGACCUUUAAUUUGUGAUGAAGUUUUUAUUUCUUCAAAUCACUUGUUAAGUUCAAACAGAGUAGAAAGCAUAAAGCUUUAAUCUCCGAAAAUUAAACAAUACAGGUUACGAAAAUUAAUUCGUUAAGAUUGUGGUUUUAGGUACACAAUCUGUAUGUUUGCACUCUACACUUCAACACAAGUUCAAGACUGUUUUAAGAGCAAUGGAGUGUUAACACAUUCAACACAAGUUUAACAUGAACUAUCAAAGAAGUGUGUUUAUUUACAAGAAGUAAGAUAAAGUAGAAAUAGAACCAAGUCCUCCGAUUUAACGGAGUGUCCUUAAGGAAUUAAUUCCCCUCAAGUAUCCGAGGUUGCGGAAUUUUUUCUCCCAGAAUAAAAUGGCUCACAAUCUGAAUGUAACAGUACCUCAAAUCUUCAGAUUCUUCGAACACACUCAACGACUGAUGAUCACAAAGAGUUUUUUGAAUGUAGAAGAGUCUUUUUCAAUUCUGGAAUUUUCGUACAUACCUGAGGAAAAAGUUCAGGUAUUUAUAGCCACCAAGUGCCUCUUUGAAAAGGAAACAAUAGUUCAUCGGAAGGUGUAUCACUUCAGAACAGUCAUGUAUGUCCAUUCCGAAACAGUGUCUUUUUCUAAAUAGUCACAUCAGAUUGAACAGUCAUCCCUUUUUCGAAAUAAUGUGUCAUUUCCUUAAAAGGUUGCAUCCCUUUCUAGCUACGUUUCUGUUCAUGGAGAAAAUAUUUUUCAUUGGAUUAAACUUUGUCUAAAAAAUUAAUCUCAUUGAUUAUUUUUCAAAUCCAAAUCCGAAGCCGACCGAGCAACGACGACAACGGCGUGAGGCACCUCUUGAUUCUUGCCUCACUAUAUACUUGAAGAAGUGUUUCUUAAUAAAAACACAAUAAAUUUACUUUCUCCCACCAAUGCGAGAGAAGUAGACUUUCCUCAAGUGCACACACUUUCCUUUUAAGUGUAAACUGUAAACUCACUUUCGAUUAUUUUUCAAAUCCAUGCUUUCUCCCACCAAUGCGAGAGUAGUAGACUUUCCUUAAGUGAACACACUUUCUUUUUAAGUGUGUAAACUCCCUUUCGAUCAUUUUCUAAAUCCAAAUUCAAGUAAGCGACGAUGAUUGCGCGAGGCACCUCCUGAUUCUUGUCUCACUAUUCACUUGAAGGAGUGUUUCUUAAUAAAAAUACAAUAAGUGAGUACUUUCUCCCAUCAAUGUGGGAGAAUUAGACUUUCCUUAAGUGAGUACACUUUUUUUAAAUGUAAAUUCACUCUCCAUUCAAAAAUUUCCUUCAUUUUUCAUUCACAUCAAUUGAACCCAACGUAUCCUUCACCCACAAAAUUUUAUCAAUACAAUUAAAUAAGAACCUUAUGAUCAAUACAUUAACUUUUUUAAAUUUGAUCAUAUAGAGUUGGCAACAAGAUUGAGACACUAAUUAUAAUAAUAAAUGAAUCAUAGUUGAGACAAGUAGUCAGCACAUUAGAUUGCUUAUAAUUUAGGAUUUGGCGAAUUCCGUGGCAUGCUUGCUAUCAUUUUGUUAGCGACGGAUAUUUUUAAGUUAAAAUUUUAAUGAUAAAAUAUAUUUUUAGCCAGAAAACUAACGAAUAGUAUUUUUAUUUUAUUUUGUAUAAUUCAGGGGUAUAUUUCGUAUCAUCCUUAGAUGAAACAGAAGCAUUUUAAAAAUUUCAUAUUACCGUAAUAAUCAUUUAACAUUACUUUCUUCGUGUAUCUUUAUUUAUCUAUAUUGCCAAAAAAGAGAUAUCUAAUAAUAUUUAUUAGUUUGUAAAAUCAACGAAUAAUUUAUUUAUUUGUGUUUAUUUUACCCUUAGUUAUAAUUAUGAUCACUAUCGAAUACAUUUUAAUUAAAUUUAUUAAAUUAUCUAUGAUUUCAUAAGAAAUAUAUCAAAUUAAUAAUGAAUAAAUCUAUAUCUAUAUCUAUAAUCUAUAUUUAUAAUAUUUGAAAAGUGUGAAGGGCCUUAAAAAUGUUGUUUAAACUUUUUGCCUUUCAUUAAAAGUUCUUGCUUUAGACAAAAUUAUCUUUUCACUAUUUUUUUCUAAUAUUUAAGAGUUAAAAAUUAAUUAAAUAUAUUUAUGUUAAAACCUUUCCUUAUUAGAAGUCAUUAGAAUUUCAAUAUUUUUUCCUACUUUAAGAGUUGAACAUUAAUUAAAUAUAUUUAUGGUAAAACCUUUGUUAUUAGAAGUCGUCAAAAUUAAUGACAACUGAUACUUUUUCUAUUAGUUUAAAAAUUCUAAAUAACUAAAUUUGAUUUUAAGAAGAUUUGAAAAAUAUAGAAAUAAAUAUAAAACUAUUAAAUAAGAAUUCUAAAUCAAUUAAAUUUGAUUUUAAGAAGAUUUUAAAUAUAUAGAAAUAAAUAUAAAACUAUUAGAAUAAAAAACAUUUAAGAAGUACCAGAAUUUUAAAGUUUUAAGUACGUAAUAAGAAUGUAAUCAAUGAUUUUAUAAAAAUUUGAUUUUAAAAAUAAGAAAAGAUUUUAAAUCUAAAUAAAAUUGUAACACAAAUAUGGUUCAAAUUGACGUGUUUAGCAUGUGGCAACAAGGAAAAAAGGUACUAGACGAACACAAAAGUAAUGAUCCAUCAACCAUUUGAAACUUCUGGUGGUAAAAUACAUAUGUGUAUAUGAUUAUGUUUACACUAUUAUAUUUAAGUCUGAAAGAUUAUUGAAAAGUAAAUUGAACUUUUACAUUUUAUUAAAAAUCUUCUCAAUAAAUAAAAUUAUUUAAUUUUAAAUAAUUAAAUAAUCAAACGUUAUACGUGCGAGAUAUGUGCGGCUAAACCAGUAAAAUUAUAAACCAAUAGUAUUACCUAUAUAUAAGGCGCAAUGAAGCAGCUGAAGCAGGCUGCUUAUGGUCAACAUGCCUGCUUCAUCUGCUGCAAUUGUGAUUUUACUAUAUUAUCUUUAAAUAAUUAUUAUAAAUCAUUUACAUAUUAAAAUUGAAAAUAUUUGAUAGAAAAAUUAAAAUAGACAUUUAUGACAUGACUGCUUCAACCGUGAUUUUACUAUAUCACUUAUAAUUAAUUAUUUUAAGUCCUUUAAGUAUUAAAAAAUUAAUAAUAUUUAAUUAAAAAAUAGAGAUAAAAUGAUAAAUUAUUUUCUGAUGUUUAAAUUAACUUUACGUCUUAUAUGAGACCACUUAAAAAAAAAUCACAAGUAUUUUUUAUAAUAAUUUUACUAUAUCACUUCUAAGUAGUAGAAUAGAAGAAAAAUAUUAUAAAUCACAAUUUAAAAAAUUUAAAUAAUUUAAAAAAUAUAAUUAGCUAUCAAUGUCAUAAAAGUUUGAACAAUUUAAAAUAUUAUUAUAUAAAUUUCAUCAUCUAAAUAUAGUAAGAUAUGUCCAACUUAGAAUUUAUCGACCAAACAAAUGAAAGUUUUAAUUAAAUAAUAGAACUAUACAUAAAGUAGAAAUUUUAAGGACGCGUAGCACGGCGUAAACCGACUAGUAUAAUAUAAGUGGGGUGGGGUGUAGUUGUUGAACCACUCUAUUUUAAACUUUAUAUAAGAUCUACAUUCCAUAUGCAUACCACGUGUGGCAAGCCACAAUUUAUUUGUAAUUUUAUAUUCUUUUUAUGAGAUUUUUUUUUAUUAUAAUCUAUACAAAAGAUAUUUUUAUCUUUACACAUAAAUGUAUGAAGUAAGAAUUGAACUUGACACUUCAGCAAAUUAAAAACUGAAAUGUGGCAAGAAAAGUUGGUCAAAGUGGCUUAAUCAACAGGGAUGUCACCAUAUGUUAUCUCGAAAGUAAUCCAAUACUUAAAGGAUAUGGAGUCGAGCAGUGAUGGACAUAGAAUUUAAAAAUUAGUGGUGUUCAAAAAAUAUAUAUUAACGGUCAAAAUUUUAAGAUUUCACUUGCGAACUAAGCAUUCAGUUAUUUUCUACAUUCUACAUUCAUUGAAUGCUUUUCUAAACCUUACAUCAAAUUUUAUUUAUUUUUUAUAUAAUUAUAUCUAAUCUGCAUCGAAUUUAUCAAGUGCAAAAACACCAAAAAAUUGACUAUGAAAUUCAUCAAAACUCCUAUUUAGUUUAAGAGGGCACAAAUAGGAAUUAAGUUGGUCAAACACACAACUUUAUGCAAGAUGUUCAAAUCAUUAACCAUCAUAACAAGGGUGGAGCUAUACUUGAAAUAGGAGCUUAAUAAAAAAUAUAAUAUAUAUAUAUAAUGAAANNNNNNNNNNNNNNNNNNNNNNNNNNNNNNNNNNNNNNNNNNNNNNNNNNNNNNAUAUAUAGUGGAUGUCAAACCCCCUUCAAUUAAAUUACAUGUUCACUUAUGAAUUCUCUUAAUAAAAAUUCUAACUCCGCUACUAAAAGGCAUCCGAAAUUUCAUCAUAGCACUAGCAAUAUAAUCACGAGCCGUCACUAUUGCUUUAUAUUUGUCGAAGUUUUUUCUUCUUUUUUUUUAUAAUAUUUUUGUCAUGUUUAAUAUGUUAUACAUAUCUCUUAUUACAAAGUGAUAAUAUUUUUGAAAGCUUGAUGGUGAGCUUUUGGUGUGUUUGACUUAUUAUAAUAUUGGUUAAAGAUAAGACGGUGAUUCAAAUUUCAUCGCAUUAAAAAGAUAAGAUAUCAGUUAAAGUUUUGAUGCACUAUGAUGAAAUAUUGAAUUUAAGUUCCAUCGAUUUAUUACUAAGACGUUUUUGAAUGGAUAAGACAGUGAAUUUGAAUCUUAAUGCACCAUAUUGAUGUAUAAUGAUGGUUAAGGUAACCAAUAUGUUUUUGGUAAAAGACAUGAAACCUGUCUCAUUAAAUAUGCUCUAUUCCAUAAAGUGGAUGUUAUAUGCUCCAUUCCAUGAAGUGAAUGUGUAGCAAUAUAUGAUAUACUCUAAAAGGUAUAUGCCUCGAUGUGCUCCUGACGUAGCAAUAUCAUGAAAAAGGUUAUAAGCUAUCAAAAUUUGAUAGACUUAAGGUACGAGUACAUCUAUUCCCGGGAAUGAGGAUUUCGAUUAUUUUAAGUACAUAUUUAUUCCCUAAGGUGAAUGUGAUUAAUACAAACAUGCACUUGAUUGUGAUGGUAUUACAACUCACCUCCGAAAAAGGUAGAAUAACUGAGAAGAGUUAUUUUAAAAUCUACUUCUGAAGUUGUAAAUUUGAAAUUUAUUCAUGUAACAGUAAAUCUGAAAUUUACUAAAGUAAAGGGUACAUGUCAUGGUAAAUUUGGGGUUUGCUAGAAUAAAAGUUCAUAAAUUGACAUGAACGAAUGCGACAUUCCAAAGAUGUGCAUAGUGAAUAUUGUAUAUUGAAGAACUAGAAAAUUCUUCAUGAACUAUUAAUUUUGCUUGUUCUCAUGAUAAGUUGGUUGGACCAACUAAUGUUGGGAUUUGAUCACUCCAAAUACGAAAAAUAUAAAAGGUGAAUAUAGGCGCAUUCACCAGUCAUGUGAUAUAAAAAGAUGCAUCGAUAUUAGAUGAUCACUUAUACAUUUAUUGUCAAUUUACAGUUUGACAUUCAUAAAGUUGCUUGCUCAAUAAAAUUGAGUUAAGAGCAUAACUUUCAGAUCGUGUAAUCAAGACAAUUCAUCUGAAUGAUGAAGGUUUGACAUUGAAUGCCUUCGAUAAAUAGAUAAAUCAUUAUUAAUGAGAACAAAGCUCCAUGUGCUGAUUUGAAACAUGAUAUAUUAUAUACAAAAAUACUUGUAUGCACCAAACCAAUAAAUUAUUAGCUCCCCUCAAAGUUGGUUUUGAGUCAGGAACCAAAUAUUGUCCAUCUAAUAAUUUUGACGUGCAGUAUAUGAUUAAUGAAUAUACCGUGAUGCACAAAGAUGGAUUCUCAAAGAGGAUGGUUAGUUUUCCUAACAUAAAGGGAAGAUUAUAAGCAACUGUGAAAUAUGUUAGGAAUCAUCAUCAUAUCCUCAAAACCUUAAAUUGUUCAAGAAAAAUAAAAAUUACUCUUUAUUUUCUCUAGUCUUCUUUUCUACCUUACUUUUCAUAACAUUUAAGAUCUUAUUAUUGUGUUUUAAAUUUUUGUUUCAAUUUAGUUGUCUCUUUUAUAAAAUAAAAGAAUAUUAUUAUAUUUUUUUCAAUAUUAUUCUUAUCAUUAAAUCACUAAAUAAAAUAUAUAUACUCAAAUUUAUAUUUUCAAAGAAUAAUUAAAAGGUCUAGUUUGAUAAAAUAAACUCCCUGUAAACUUUUUGUUAAGGAAAGUUACAAUUAAAUAAACACUAUUAUUUUGAAACGAAAGGUAAUAUAUUAUAUUUUUCAAUGUCGUUACAAACCAACUUCCUCAAAACUCAAAAGGCAAAUCGAUCUUAUAUUUCAAUUCAAGAUUGAAACGAAAUUUCAAACGAAUUAGAAGAAUUCUCUAAUUUCACGAUGACAGUUGGAUUAAAACCCAAAAUUCAAAAUAAUUAAGAGUUCUCUAAUUUCAUGGUGAGAAUAUUGAAAAUCAAAUUUCAAAACAAUUAAAGGAGCUCUUUAUUUUCGUAAAGCUUAAGUCAUCGAUAAGAUCCUAAACUUGUCUUGAAAUUGCACUUCAACCCCUCAACUCAGAGCUAUACCUAUCAGGCCCCCAACCUAUCCUAAAUUUGAUUUAUCUAAAAAAAUUUUGCCCACAUAGUACGUUACGUGAUAAUCACUCAAAAUGGGCGUGUGAGAGAUGAUUUUUUUGUCAAAUCACGAAUAAAAAGGCGAGAAAUGGCAUUGUGGACUCCAAAAAAUUAUAAGUACAAUAAUUUUUUUUUUUUUUUUAAAACAAGCUCAAUCUUCAUUUUCUUCCCCCACACCCAUCCAAUAUCUUCUUCUUCCACUGCUUGUUCUUCCUCUUUUUUUUUUUUUAAAACUUAAUUCUCCAUUCAUUUUUUUAAUUUUUUUCCUUUUUUGAAUCUUUUUUGUUCUUAAUUUUAAAUUUAUGUUUGGAUUUGAUUUAAAAUAUUUUUGUUCUUAAUUCUUUCCCGUCAUUUUUUUUUGCUACAUCCUUUUCCGGCCACCUCCAAACAAAUAUCGUCACUUUAAUUAAAAGGUAAAUCCAACAAGUUUAUCAAAAAAUUUAGGUGUAAAUAUAAAUAAUAAUAAUAAAAAAAAGCUUUGACGGAAAAAAUGAGAGUUUGCCGCAAAAAUAUAAAUUAAUUUUUUUUUUUAAGAAAUCAACAAAAUUAUAAAUUUGACUCAAAAAUAAAAAUUAAAAUGCUAUUUUCAUAAAUCAACAAGUUAUUUCAUCUUCCUCAAUCUAUUUUCAGUUUUCUCCAUCUCAUUAGUCAUUGUAGAAGAGGAAGAAUUUUGCCGGAAAAAUGAAGCUAUGACGAAAUUUUUUAAGUACAAGCUGAAGAAGAGGAGGGUGGGGGUGGGGGGCAGGGGUAUUUAGUUUUUCUUUUUCAAGAAAAGUUAAAAUUAUUUUUAAAUUAUAAUUUAAUUAGUUAUGAAAUAUUUUUUAAUUACUUUUGGAUUCAAUGCCAAAUGUCACCAUUUAAUUCGUUAUUUUUGUCGCAUCAUCGCAUGUGUGUUGCACACACUUUAUACUUUUAGUUGAUUGAUAAAAAAAUGUUCAAAUGGUUCAAAUUUCGAGUGGGUUAGGCUCCUAAUAGGUACAGGCUGAGUUGAGAGGUUUAAGUGAAAUUUUGAAACACGUUUAGGGUCCUAUCUAUUGACAAAAGAGGGCUGCUUUAAUAUUUUAAUUUCGAGUUAUCAAAAAAGCAUAAAGAACAAAAAAUAUUUUUUUUGUCAUAUUUUGACUUGGCACAUUCAUAAAAAAACACAAUUAAAAAAUACUUUUAUUUGUCAUAUUUUGACUUGGCACAUUCCUAAAAAAACAUAAUUAAUAACAUAGUUAUUUUACUAAAGUACCCCUAUUAAAUGAUGUUUAUAUUGUGUCUUAAAAUUACUUGUAAAAAACAAUUAAUGCUAUGGAUAAAAUAAAAAAGAAGAAGUUGUCUUUUCUUGAUAUGUCAAAAAUUACAAGUAAAAAUAGAAAUAUAAUUAAAAAAUUAGUGACAAGUAAAAGCGAACGGAGGAGUAUUUUGAAUACUCCAUCCAUUUCGUAUUAAUUGACCCCUAUGGACUUGGACACCCAUUAAGAAAUCAAUAAAUAGAGAUGCAUUUUAUAUAUUUAUCCUUGCACACCUUUUAAAGUGCAAUAAUUAUUACCAUGAUUAAAUAUUUAAAUUUGAUAAAUAUUAUUUUAUUGUAUGCAUUAUAUCUAGAAUAUUGAGUAUUUAUAAUUGAAAUUAGUAAUAAUCAUUUAAUUUUGAUUUCAAGAAUUAAGAUCAUUUAUAUGCAUCAUUCAAUAAUUUGAAAAAUUGUGGAUGUAUUUAAUAUUUCUAUCAAGAGUAAAAUAGAAUACACAUAUACUUUAAUUUUAAAAUUUGAAUAACUAAAUUAAAAUAAAUAUUUUUUUAAAAAAGACUAACUAAUACAAAAAGAAAAUGAGUAAUACUUAGAUACUUAUGGUUGGUUGUGUUAUCUUCUCAUUCAUAUAUUGCAAUGACCCUCCCGGUCAUCAUUACUUUAGUUAGAAUUAGGGUUAAAAUAAGAAAUAAAUUGAUGUCUUUAGACUCGUAUUUUUAUGGGAAUAAUAUUUUUAACAGAUUUUUACCAUUCGGAAGUUUUGAUGAAGGGUAAAAAGCUUGUGGACUAGCUGCUUUCGAAAUUAUUGGUUAAGGUAGGUUACGAUUUAAUUGGAGUUUAGACUCGACUUAAUUGUGUGUAUGCUCCUAAAUUGGAUGCUUGUGGAUUGACAUUCGGACAUGCUUGAAAUUGUUGAUGUUUGGAUUAUUGAUUCGUGUAUAAAUGUUUAUUGAAAAUUAAUUUGAUGAAAUUGUCUUAUGACUUUAAGUGUUGCCUGUGAGGUUGUGUAAAUUGAUAUUGAUAAUACUGGUUUAUAUUUGAACUCCGAGUCAAUCAUGUUGCACUGGUCAAGACAUUGUCUCAGGUUGUUGGCCCCAUUAUAGUUAAUAGGGGCUCCACCCAGCUUGUUUUUUGCUUCGAGGACUUCAUUAAAGUCUCCCCCUAUAAACUAUUCCCCCUUGUAAUUUUGGGCUAUGUUACAGAGGUCUCCCCACAUGCCAGUGCACGUGUUAUAGUCAGGGCUAACAUAAAUAGCUAAAAAAAGCCAAGGAGGGUGGUCAGGUCGUACCUUGAUCAUGAAAUGAAUGCCUUGUGGAGAGGCGAUGAAGUUGUCCAGGUGGAGGAGGUGAUGCCGCCAGAGAACCCUAUUGCACUCGAUUGAAUGUGAAGAUCAAACCUAGAGCAUCAUAAAGAAGAGUCUUAUGCUUCUUAAUUUUAAUUUUGAGUAGAACUACCAUCGCCAACUUGUAGAUGUUAAUCAUGGCCUGACACUGCCAGCGGAAGUUAGUACUGUUCCAUAUUAUGAACUUCAACAUCUCCGACAUAUUUGUUUGUUGGUUCAUUGGCCUUUUCCCCUUCCCAUGGGAGAGGAGAGAUCCAUCACUAAUACUUGCGGGCUGAGUAUCACUAUCGUCAGAGCAGCAUCUAUCGCAAUCUUCACUAUCAGAGAGAAGUCGAUGAGUAUGUGAUAAUAGUUGAGCUGAAGGGCUCUUCGAAGCUUUUGUGAAGAGUCCUUUCUAGCAAAAAUGGCUCUUGGCUCGACUCUCCAAGGGUGCAUAUGAAGGCAAAAAAGAUUGGCAUGCUUUGAAAGGUUUGACUCAUUAAUGCACUGAGAUCCUCCAUUGAUCUCUUGAGAUACUUGGGCUGACAGUUGCCCACUGUUAGUCAGAGUUGAAUCCAUUUUUCCCCUAGCGUCUUCUCCAUCCAUGAAGUGGGACUCCUUUGGGAUGGUGACAAAAUAGAGGGGUUCCAAUGGUGGUUGAUUGGUCGAAGCAUUCUGUAGGUUUUCCAUUGUUGGUAGAUUGGACAACAUUGCAAAGUUUUCCGGCCAUGGAUGGGAUUCUUCUUGAUUUUGACUCCUUGAGUCAUUUCAGUAGUUGCAGAGUGAUGAUUAUUUUUUGGUGAGGAGGAGUUAAUCAAUUUCGGAGAAAUUUGCAUGGAGUCCUCCAUAGAUACCUCAGAGAGGGGAUGAGGGUGAGUACGAGUCUCCUUUGACCCGCUAAAGCUAAUGGAUUUAUUAAUGGGGGUAUUUAAUGGAAAUAACUUUUUACCCUGCUUUAUCGGUAGCCUUCUUCAUAUUGAUAUUUAUUACUUUUUUUCAUUUCAUAAUAAAUUAAUUGUUGGAUUUUUACUUAAACAUUAGUGAUUCCAUAACUCUUGUAGUUUGCUCUUGAGGUAUGGAUGAGCUAGUUUCUUUCCAAAUAGUUUGCUUUCGGUUCAUCUUUACUUCUCCAUCUACUAUACUAAAUUGACUACAUGUUUCAUUAUACUAAUUUUAUAUUUUUACUAAUCAUUAAAUUUUGCUUUUGGUUCAUCUUUACUUCUCCAUCUACUAUACUGGAAUUGACUAUAUAUUUCAUUCUACUAGUUGUCUAUUUUAACAAACCAUCAAAGUUUGCUUUCGGUUCAUCUUUACUUCUCCAUCUACUAUACUAAAAUUGACUAUAUGUUUCAUUGUACCAAUUGUCUAUUUUUACAACUCAAAAGACUAAAUAUAUUUUUUUUCAUUAUAACUUAGUAUUGAAUAACCUCAUAAGGUGAUAGUAGUCAAAUUUAACAUAAGUUUAGUAAAAUUUACUUCAAAUUAAAAUUUUCUUAAAAGAUACGUAAAAUUUACACUCCACAUGAGCUAAGUAAUAUAAGAUAAAAAACGAUUCAUUAAAAUAAUAUAAUAUAAUACAAUACAAUAGGAUGCGAUAUAUUGUGAAACAAAUCAAACAAUACAAAACAACCAUCUAUACAAAGUGCAAUACAACAAAAGCAGCAAACCUCCCACCCCCAACCAACAAAACACACACACACACAAAGCAAUCACUUAGAAGUAAUAUAUCUAAGUUUUGGAACCGUUGUUUGCUUAAUUAAACACCAACACAAUUAUGAUCAUGAUUCAUGACAGAAUCAACAAACAACAUGGAGAUGACGUCUUUAAGGUUGUAUUUGGAAUUUGUAAAAUCAUCCCCUUGGAGAAUUUCUACUAGACGUGCAAGAUUUACUGCAGGUUCUAGGACAAUUGUUGGUACUUGAGUUGCACGUAAAUAUUCCGUGUUUAUGUCUUUCCAUGCAUUUGCUAUUUCUUUCCAUAUCUCAGCAUAUGCAUCUUGUUUCGAAGCUCCAUAUUCUUUCAUGUAGCAUUCGACGAAUGAAGCUCCAUGUUCUCUUUGUUGUUCGUGCUGCAUCAAGUGUAUAGAUUUCAGUAUUGACGUCCAAUAGUACUAUACGUUCAAAAGUUAUUGGUCAAAAACACAUAUAGGCUAUCAUUUUCUUGAGGCUUGUUAUUCAGGAACUUGUUCAGAAAUACCUUAGUGAAAGGAACAUAGGAGUUUGUCGCUAGGUAUUUGACCUAUACCUAUGAGAUGGGAAAUGAAAACUGAAUUUCAUACAUCAACUGCCCGUUAUUCCUUUUACCUAUGUAAACUAUCACUUUCUUUGUAUUAUAACACACCUAGAUGUUGAGUUUGUCAAACUAUUGUUCUCACUAGACCACAAGCGCUUGUAGGCCUAUUAAGCAUUCGCGUGUGUUUUAAUAUAAAGAGAGUGAUAUAAUUCGGGAAAUGAUCGAUCAUAUGAUAUAUAGUUCAGAUGUGCCAUAUCAACAUAUAUACUUACUUCAUGUCCAAUAAUAUCGUCCUUUAAUCUGUUGAUUAGUGAUGAAGCUGGAAGGACCAAAGAGUCAUUUAAGAUCCAUUGGAAAGUCUCUUUGGCUACAAAUUCCUCCAUAACAAUCAAACAAGUAACCACAAGCAUUGGAAUGGCAAUUGUUAAAGUUGCAUUUCUCUUAUAUUCCUCACAUUUUGGAAUUUUGCCACCAUUCAACCAUUCCACUUCCUUAAGAUAGCUUUUCGUCCACCUAUUCGUCUAAAACGUAGAAUUUCAAUUCCAAGUAGUAUAUACUUUUAAAAUCGAUGAUAUAUUUAAUAUAAUCGGUUAAAUAGAACGAGUUAGAGCCCGUUUGAAUAGGAUUAAAGAAAAAUAGUUUUUUAGUUUAAGUGAUUAAAAGCUGAAAAUAAGUGCUUAUAAAUUAAGCACAUAAGUGUUUCGAUAGAAGUGCUAAAACUGAAAAAAAGUUGUUGAUGUAUUUGGUAAACAAGUGAUGUUAAAUACAUUUUUUGCUAUUAAAAUGACUUAAAUAUCCUUAAAGUUGUUAACACCAUAAUUAAGGUGAAAUUUUAAUAAUUUUUAAUUCUAAAAUAAAAUUUUUGAAUAAAUCUUCGGUGUAAUGAUGGAUUCGAUUGAAACAAAGAAGAAAAAUUAAGAGGAAAUUGGAGGGAAGAGAUGAAGCGAAGCGGCAAAGAGAAAAAGAAAAAAAAAACUAUAUAUUUAAGGGCUACAAGUUUUGAAUAUUGUUGGAAUUGGAAGAAAAUAUAAGGGAUAAAAAGGUAAAUAUUUUGAUCAAACCUAAAAGAAUUUUAAUCUAAAAAGCAAAAAGCUGGGUUUUUAUUCGUUUAAUCGGUUUUUAGCUUUUUUUAAACACUUUUUAAUUUUACCAAACACCUUAAAAAACCAUAAAAGAGAUUAAAAGUUGAUUUGACUAGAUUUUAAUCCUAUCCAAACGGACUCUAUAGCAAGCUUAAUUACCUCAAUUUUUGCACAGUAGACAUAGUCUAAUUUGCCAUUUAUGGUUGAUUCUUCUUCCAUUUCAUCAAAGUAAUCUAAAAAGACUUGAUAAAGAGGUCUCAUGUAGGAUGAUAUCGAAUCCAUAGCACCAAUGUCACAUCUGCAUAUGCAUAAAUAACAUUUAUAUUUAUUAUUCAACAAUGUAGCACGAUAAAAUUACAAAGAACUGAUAAUUAAGUUUGAGAUAAGCAUUCAAUACCCCUCGAAGUCGAACUAUGGUCAAAGUUGUGACGAGACACUCCAACUUCACAUGGAUCCUAUUACCUCCCUGAACUCAAUUUUAGUGUUUUUUUGUCACCCUUUUGUGCUGACGUGGCACUUUUAUUACAUAAAAUAGGGCCCAAAUCAAAGGUGUCAUGUUAGCUUAAAAGGUGAAAAAAGUACGCUAAAAUUUAGUUCGAGGGUAAUAGGACUCCCGUGAAGUUAGAAUGUAUCGUAGCAAAUCUAGUCAUAGUUUAGGAGGGUACUAGAUGCUUUACCCAUUAAGUUUUGUAGUUAUUCACCUUUCGACUGCAUCUGUGAAAGGCACAAGUUCAUCAUAAGUUGCAUAAGCAUCAUAGAGGUCAUCGGUGACAGUGAUAAUAGCGACUAAUUUUGUUAACGUUCUUCUUGCACGUCUAUACUGAGGCUCGUAAUACACCCCUAUUGCCCAAUAGUAACACUCCACCAAUUUGUCUCUUGCAUAUGGAAAAUUGUUUACGGGAUCCAAAUCAUUCCACCACCUACAUAUGUAUAUUAUAUGUAUACAAUGGUUAGUUACAUUCUAAUGUAUCACAUGAAGCAUGUAUAUUCGCGCGAUUAAUUAAAGAAGAUACAAUAUGUAUAUACCUUGUAAGUUCGCUAAGCUCUCUUUGAUGCACCUUUUGCAAAAUGUGGAAAUCCAAUUUUGCAAAUUUCAAAAGCAAACCAUCAUGUGAUUCGAUGUUUUCGUAUAUAGGCAUGUAUUUUCUUGCUGCCACUCUUGGUACAUUUGUAUGAAUGGGCCGGAUCAAGGCUUCACUAACUUGGGCCUUGAGUGAGUUGUCCAAUUUAGGGCCCAUGGACUCGAGAUGAGUGGUGGUAAAAGUUAGAGCUUCUUCAAGAAUGUCUUCAUGGUGUACUCUUACAUGUGCUGCUUCGUAUAAACUUAAUAAUCCUAACACAUCUUUAGUAAGAGUUUCCUUGAACUUGCCAUCAUUGUUAGUGAAUUUCUUGAACACAUCUGAUUCAUUAUUAUCAUGAUGAGAUAGAAAACGAUUUAAAAAAAAUAAUAAUAACAUAUAGAGACCAAAUAAAAUGACGCACAUAUACGCAUUAUAUUAAAAUUAGGGCAAACAACAUAAAUUCUGAUAGUUUAGAGCUUAAUUAUAGAAAAUGCCAACAUUUUGCAUAAUUACUGAGAUUUUGAUUUUGGGUCUAUUGAGAUACAUCCAACGAAGAUAUAUUGUUUCCUUUGUAAAGAUACAUAAUUAACUUCCAAUAUAUUUUUUCCGUUUUUGGGUCUGUCGAGAUGCAUGAUAUCUCCAACAAAGAUACAUUUUUCCUUGUAAAAGAUACUCCCUUUGUUUCAAAAAGAAUGACCUACUUUGACUUGGUACAAAGUUUAAGAAAAUAAAAAAAAACUUUUGAAUCUUGUGGCCUUAAAUUAAAGUUGUGUCAAAUGUACCAAAAUACCCUUUAAUCUUGUGGUCCGAAAUAUGCCAUGUGGAANNNNNNNNNNNNNCUUUUUGAAUGGAGGGAGUACAUAAUUAGCUCCCGAUAUAAUUUUUAGAUUUUGGGUCUAUCGAGAUACAUAAUUAGUUCCUUGAUACAUCCAAUAAAGAUACAUAAUUAGUUGAAAGUUUUGUAAUUACUUUGUAAGGGUGGAAGUUAAAGGGCAUAUUGAUGUUAUUUUAGCUAAUAAUAAUCCUAUCUUUUAAUUCUUGAUAAUUUGACAUGCAUGAUAGAGAUUUAAAAGAUGCUUGAUUUCACCUUGGAAGUUUUGGCUUGACGAAUAUAGUAAAUUAUAUGGCUCUAGAAAAAAAGCCAUAUACGUUUAAAGUUUACCCAAAUAAUAUUGAAACAAUUAAAAAAAAAAAAAAGGAAGUAGUAGUUGACAUUAAUUAAUAAAGCUGCAUAUAUAGAAUAAUAGAGAAGUGAUGCGUUACCAGGAGACAUGUAAUGCCUUUGCUGUCUCACUAGUCGAAAACGAAGAGCAACAACGUAAAGAUCGUCGAAAUCAUCUUCAUUUUUACUCUGAUCGGACUCAUCAAAAAUAUUCUGAAUAGAUAUUUUAAUCUCAUUUUCGAAAUGAUAUCCCACUCCCAAUCGUUGGAUUGUAUCAAUUAAGACAAGUUUUUGUAUACUAUUAUCAGGAGUUUCCACUAACAUUUGCCUCACUUUUUCUUUCAACUCUUCAUGUUCAAGUUUUUCUUGGCUACUAAUUUCCUGCACCAAUAAUUAAUCAUAAGAAUUAUUGUGCUAGGUAGUGUCUAGGGAGGAUAGAGUAUGUAUACGGAAAUUUGGAAAAGAACAAAAUACAAAAGUAAAUAAGGAUAGAGCCAAUAAUAGGGAAAAUAUUACGUUGCAUUCAAAAAAAUAAUCAAGGAACAAUAACAAUACCAAAAUUAUACGAUAAUAAUGCAAUAAUCAAAGCACACACGAAACAAUCCGAGGUAACAAUAAUCGUAGGACAAGAAACUAUAAGAGAAUAGUGUUUCGUACUACUACUUAUAUGAACAAAGAAACAAAUACGAUACACCAAACUAUCACCAAACCUAUCCCACAACCGAAGCACACAAGAAACAAAACAAUCCGAGGUAACAAAAAUCGUAGGACAAGAAACUAUACAAGAAUAAUGUUACGUACUACUAUUGAUAUGAACAAAGAAACAAAUACGAUAUACCAAACUAUCACCAAACCUAUCCCACAACCGAAGCAGAAGAAACAAUCUGAGGUAACAAAAAUCAUAGGACAAGAAUUAAAAUCUACGAGAGUAAUUAAUGUUACGUACUACUAUUGAUAUGAACAAAGAAACAUAUAUGAUGUAUACCAAACUAUCACCAAACCUAUCUCACAGAAAAACGAGACGUAUAUGAGUGUAUGGGUACAGAAACAUACUGUGAGUUGAGGAGUGUAGGAGAGAAAAUAGUCUCCCCAAACACUUUUGUGAUAAUUUACCAAUGGACGUUUAAUAGUAGUGUUAACCAUUGCUAAUUGACUCAUACUUUUCUUUCUCUCACUCAAAAUGCUUUAAUUACUACAAUUUGUGUGUUUUGCCUCUACAUAUGUUGAGGUAUUUAUAGUCAACUUGGGAAGACAAGUUGUCAAGUGACUUCAAAAUUCAAAUUAUAUGUCUUGAUUUAAGUAAAAAAUGGAUCUUUGGCCUAACGUAAUUUCAAAAAUUAGCUCACACUAGAAGGUUGUCCAAUGUCAUAUAAAGAGACCAUUUUUUUCUCCAUUCCACCGAUGAGUUAAAAAAAAAAUACUCUUUGUUUAGCAUUUUUUUAGUUUCAGCUUUCCACAAGAUAUGUUUAAGAUCAGAAAGAUUAAAGAGUAUUUUGGUACAUUUAAUAUAUAUAUCUUUAAUCUAAUACCAGAAGAUUCAAAAGUAUUUAUUUGCCUUUUUAAACUCGGUAUCCAAAAACAAAUUAAAAUAAAGGCCAAACCCAUCGGUGACCCUCUAAACUUGGCUCGAACUUUCAUUUAGGCACCUCAAGUGGACGUUAUUCACUUUUAACACCUCAAGUAGCCACAAAGUGUGUCACUUUGACACCUUUUGCUGAAUCAGCAAAGAGAGUGUGUUGCACUCGCUGCCAGGUGCAUUUUAGGGUAUAUAACAUAUAAAUGAACCAAUUAUAAAAGGACAUUUGGCAUUUUUAUAAAAUAAUUUUUAUAUAAUUAAUUUGAAUUAAANNNNNNNNNNNNNNNNNNNNNNNNNNNNNNNNNNNNNNNNNNNNNNNNNNNNNNNNNNNNNNNNNNNNNNNNNNNNNNNNNNNNNNNNNNNNNNNNNNNNNNNNNNNNNNNNNNNNNNUCCCCCACCCCCAUCUAUUAGUUUUUCUACCAUUUUUUUUCUUAAUAUAAUUGAUUUUUAAUAAUUUGGAAGAAUCCAAGUUGGUGCAGAUUAUAAAUUUCUUCUUCUUCUUCUUCUUCUUCUCUCUUUCAAUCAUUGAUUUUCCACCAUUUUUUUUAAUUUUCUUAACACGUUUGUAUCCCUUCAUUUUCUUGUCUGGUUUUCGAGAAAAUGGCAAAAAUGAUCCAUAUGUUGGAAUUUGAUGAGACUAUCACGGUGUUUUUGAGAAAGUGGCAAAAAUGAUUCAUAUGUUGAGAAAAUGAUAAAAAUUGUUUUCGUCGAUGGAACAACGGUGUAUGCUGUUGUUGGCUUGGUGAAUUUGUGUUUUAUGUUUUGAAUUUGUUGAGAAGUGAAUUUGUUGUUGGCAAAAAUUAUUGUUGAGAAGUGAAUUUGUCUUGGCGGAGGUGCGAUUGUUGGCUUGGUUGGCGGUUGGGGGGAAAGGAGAAGAUGACGUUGGGGUUUGGGAGUGAGGGUGGGGGUGGGGAAGGGCAAAUGGAGAAGAAUGACUUGGGGGGAGGGGACUGGGGGGAUGGGUGGUGGUGGAGAAGAUGACUUUGGAGUUUGGGGGUGGUGGGGUGGGGGUUGAGUUGAUAAUUUUAUAAUUAUUUUUUAAAGCGCCAUAUGUCAAUAAUUAAUUGGUUCCUUUAAUUUAAUUAUAUCUAUAUAUAUUAAUAAGUUGGAUAAUUAUUAAUAAUCAUGUAGUUUGGCCUUUUGCUUUUUAAAAAAAAAUUAAUUGUGAAUAUAAAUAAUGAUGUGGCAAUUUAAAUGAGUCGGCACAAAUCAAUUGGUCAUUUGUUUGAGGUGCCUAAGUGGAAGUUUGUGUUAAAUUUAGGGAGCCACCGAUGAAUUUGACCUAAAAUAAAUAAUAUAUCUUGAUCAUGUCAAUAAACCAGAUGGUCGAACGGUAUAUUAACGUCAAUUUUCAAUAAUUAAAGGUCAAUGCAGACAUAUUUGAGCAGAAAAAGAAUGCUGCAGUAAUGCAUGCAAGGGAGUGUGAAAUAUAAUACAUAAAUGAAAAGAAUCCAUGAAAAGGCCCACACUUGUCCAGAAAUGGCAGUAGAGCCCAUGUAGUUUGUAGUUGCAAAUGGACAAGUAACAUGACCACUAACCCAACAGAAUUCGACAAGAUAGGACAGGGCAGCUCAAGGGUGAAGCUGCCACUUUAGACUCAUAAUAAUAAUAAUUUUCCUAAUGUGUAACUAUGUAUUGUUAUUAUAUUGAGCUAGAAACAAAGGCUUCUUCCACCACGAAUUAAAAGGAAAUUUGUAUUAUAAAGCAUGAUUUUAAUCUACUUGGAAAACGGGAAACAGUCAUUGAAACACUGGGGCGGACCAAUUAUCCAUCUAAUUCUACACCUUUGCGCUAUUAUUGGCCUUCAGGAUUUCUCAAUUAUUACUUCAUAGCCUUCCAAUUUUUUUAUUAUUUUUUUUUUGGGGGGCUGGAAAAUUACAUUGUAUAGAUAGGUUAAGUUUUGGUUUUAUAAGAAUACAUGUAUCAGUGUUGACACUUCUAGACGCAAGUGGAAUGUUUAGUCCGUUGAGGGGCUGCAAAAGGUUCAAUUCAUCAUGAUAUACUUUGUGUUCCAAUGUAAUGGUAGAUAUAAGCUUCCAAUUAGAUCAUGAAAUAUUAUGUAUAAUACAUGUAUGUCAUUAUUUCUAUGUUCUGGAAUCUUAUUAUUAGAGUACGCGUCCUACUAAUUGCCUAUCUGUGUAACAAGUAAGUAAACGUGGUUCACAGAAAUAAAACUGAAUACAGUGUUUUUAUGUGGAAAACACCCGGCUCAAGAAAGGUGUAAAAAACCACGACUUGUACUUCUACAGAAUUUAAUCCAACUUCACUAAAAUACUUGAGCCUCAACAAUCAACAAAAUUACAAGACUUCUUGUAACCUAGGAAUUAAAACUUCUAACUCCUAUCACUACAAAAAUACUAAUCUUCUCAAGAUAAGCGUUCCCAAGUCUUCGAGUUCCCAAACUUGAAGACAACAACUCCUAACUCAGUUUAUAGAUUACUGAGACUAGAAUCAAUAACUCAUUACAAUACAAGAACCUAACUACUACACAGUUUAUGACCUGCUAAGUAAGAGACUAGGUUCUUCUUCAAGUAUGUGAACUGAUAUGCUGAUUGUUGAUUCAUUUUUCAGUGCAUGCAUGAGUCACUUGCUUUGUGUCACGUUUGUUGUAUUUAAGCCAACCUAUGAUAGAGUCUUUUUUCGUGUUCAAUUGUUUCUUCAGUAGAACUCUAUCAGUUAACUCUUUUCCUUUUGCUGCCACCUCACCUGUCCUAGAUUUGAUAGGACUCUUUUACUUCAAAUCCUCUUCUUGCUGAACUACUUGAUCAACUUGACUUCUUCAAGACUCCUUGUUUGACUCAGCUUCCGAUGUGAUUUAUGUUGCCUAUGCUUGUCUUGUACGCAGAAUCAUAUCAUUCAGACUCCUCUGCCAGCUAAACUAUUUCACUUGAAUGGACCAACUUCUUCAACUUGUUUCAUUCACAUGUCUAUCAUCAAAACUCCUCAUGCCUUAACAAAUUUCCCCUUUUUGAUGAUGACAAACAUAGCAGCAACAACAUCAUAGAAUGAAACAGGUUAGUCCAAUUGGGUUAUAAGCAUUGCAUAGUCUACUCUCUUCCCCCUUUUGACAUCAUCGAAAAGUUGAAACAACAAGUGAAAAACGUUUAAUAAUCCAUGGCCAUUGAGGCUAUCACUAAGACAAUCAAAAUUCAGAAUAAGAUAACAUGAAUGCAAUAUGAUAAAACAAGAGCAAAAAAUAGGAUAACAACUAAGCCCAUUUCAUUUAUUUAAACAGAAGACUACAUAUACCAAAAAGUAAACUGAGAGAGAACAAGUUGUUAGGGUGAGAAACAAAAGGAGAUAGGCUGAGGAGAUCAGUCAUGAGGCUAAGUAGAAGAAGAGGAGGGAAUGAGAAAGGUGAGUUUCCUAAUAACAGCUAUAUUUUCAUCUCUCUCUUUUUCCAAAAAGGAAUUAAGGGAGGCAAUUUGAGCAUGAAGGAUCCCUUUUUCUUCUUCAUGAGCAGCAUAUGCAGCGUCCACCUCAGCUUGUUUUUCAUCUAGGGAAUUUCUCAACUUCUGCAUCGGAUUAUCAGUACUCCUCAAAGAAACAGGUAGCAUCAUGUGGUUCACAUGUCCUAUGAUAUCCUUGGUGGUCUGUAAGGACCACACUUGAACAGAAACACCAAAGUCCUCAAAUAUGGGGGUGAGCCAGAAUUGAUAAGGUAGAGCAUGUCCACUGACUUACUUGAGUAAAAACCUCCGUAUAUGCUUUAGUAUGAGGCGAGGCAGAUCAAUUCGUACUUCAGUGUCCAACAAUUCCAUGAGAGUGAGAUCAAGAAAGCUAGCUAUAGUCCUCCUUUCCUUUCUAGGAAGAAUCAUCUUAUGCACAACAUCAAAGUACAGUUGGUGAAGAGAAGAUAUCUCCCUUUUAAACACUCUUCUAUGUCUGACCAAUUGGGGAUUCCCUGAGAACUUUAUACGUAUGUCAAGGGCUGAAACCAGAUUGUCAAGAGGUGGCCAGCUUCCUUUGACAUAUUGACCCUAACCCCCAGAAGGAAUAUGUAGAAUUCUAGCAAUAUCAGCAAUGUAAAGGUUUAGAGUAACCUUUCUAACUGUAGUAGAUAACAACUCACUAAUGCCCACCCCAUUUGCAUAGAACUCAUACGCUUCAGGUCGAGCAAAUUUUCUCUGAAGGUCUCCCUGUAGAAAGAGAUGAGACCAUCCUUGAAACUUCAAUUUUUUCAAUAAAGUCUGCAUAAUUACAUCCCCAAAUCCACUAACUACUCUUCCUCUAGCUAAUUUACGAUUUUGAAAGUGAAGGCGAGAAUCCUCAAGAGUAUCUUGAUGAAAGGAUGGUGCAGAAACCUCAAAAUCAGUAUUUAUCUCAGCGUUGGUGUCCAGAUUGAAGUCAGAGUCAGAUGAGUCAGAAGAACAGUGGAAGAGGGUUUUGAAGUAGGUGUAGAGGAAUUUUUCAUAGAGGAUAUGGAAGCUUUUGCUUUAAUAGUAGUAGGUUUCUUGACUGAUCGAAGAAAAAGAUCAAGAGAAGAAGUAGGAGAAGAGAUCGGAGGAGGAGUGGGAUCAAAAAUCACUACACGUUUCCUCUUAUUGGCUCGAAGAGUUUCAGCUAAUUUAUCAUCUUCACAUUGUUUUUUUCCUCGAGUAUGUGGGGUUCGAGGAGUAGAGGUAAUUGGAGGGGGCUGUGAGGAAAAAGUGUCUUUGGCUGGGACAGAGGGUUUUUUCUUGACCUGAGAUCUGGACCUUCUUGAAAUUAGGUCUGCAAUAGGAAGAUCAUCCCUAUCAUCUAAAAGAUCAUCCUCAUGAACAAUUCAGAGUGGAAUUGGAGGAAGAAGAAGUUAUCUCGAGAUGGAUGAAGUAGUUGAGGGAAUUUGGGUAAAAGGAUUAGGGAAAUUUGUAAAGGUGGAGAAAUCUGUGAAUUUCUGGGAGAUUGGAGAAGAAAUUAAGAGAGGUAAGGUAAUGUUUGGAUGAAGGAUGAGUGCAGUGAGGAGAUUUUAAAUAGAGGCAGUAGAGAACGAAGAAGGGGAUGAAGAUGAGGAGUUGGAUGCUAUUGUUAAAACAGGAAUGUGUUCUUAAGUGUGAGAGGGUUUAAGAGAAUUUUUAGUGUAGAAGCAAAACAAAGGAAGGCGUAUUUAAGAGAAGAAGAUGAGGAAGGUGAAAGGGUGAGGGACUGUAUGUGGCAGAGGGAUAAUGAUAAGUGUUUCAGUUAUGAUGGGAAAGGGAGUGGCAGCUUUUUUAAAAAGGAGGGACUCUUUGUAUUUUGGCGGUUAAAAUGGAUUAAGAGGAACCAGGAAAACAACUUGUUUCUCUUUAGAUUACUUUAAAGUAAUAGUAAUCGUACCUGAAUGAUAAAAUAAACAAAAUUGCUUUUGUAAUUCAAGCUUCCUGCAAAAUCAACACAUACAUGAGUCAACAUAUUUCAAAAUCUUGGACUUAGGAUACACAACUUAAUGUGUGAGACUGAAUUAACCAACAAUCACAUGUAACGUCAACUUAUUCUAGUCAAGCAUUGAGGGACACUUAUGCAAUUUUACUCAUCCCCAAGGCUAACCUAAUUUUUUCAAAGUGUUCUCUACUCAAUGCCUUAGUGAAAAUGUUAGCAAUCUGUUCCUCAGUAGAGCAAAACAUAAUGGAUAUAUGCCCUUUUUCAACAUUAUCUCUAAGAAAGUGAUGCCUAAUAGCAAUAUGUUUGGUUCUCUUGUGUUGAACAGGACUUUUAGCUAUGUUAGUAGCAAUCGUAUUAUCACAAAAAAUAGGAACACAACCAACAUCUAUACCAAAAUCCAUGAGUUGUUGCUUAAUCCAUAGCAUUUGAGCACAACAGGAACCUGCAGCAAUAUAUUCAGCUUUAGCAGUAGAUAAGGCAAUGGAGUUUUGCUUCUUAGUGGAUCAGGUAAUCAAACAUGAUCCAAGAAAGUGAGUUAUUCUAGUAGUGCAUUUCCUGUCUACCAGAUAUCUUGCAUAAUCAGCAUCUGAGUAACCUACCAAAUUAAAGUUACUACCUUUUGGGUACCAUAAGCCAAGAUCACUGGUUUCUUUCAAGUAUCUGAAGAUUCUCUUUACAGAUUUUAGAUGUGAUUCUUUGGGUUUAUCUUGAAACCUGACACAUAGCCCUACACUGAACACAAUGUCAGGCUUGCUUGCUGUGAGGUACAAUAAUAACCUUAUUAUACCUCUAUACAUCUUUUGCUCUACAUCUGAACCUGUUUCAUCCAAGUCCAGCUUUGUGGCAGUAGCAAUAGGAGUACUUAUUUCUUUUGCCUCUUUCAUGGAGAAUCUCUUGAGAAGCUCUUUGACAUACUUCUGUUGGUGAAUCAUUUUUUCUGAAGCUGACUGCUUUAUUUGUAAGCCCAAAGAAAAAUUCAGCUCUCCCAUCAUGCUCAUCUCAAAUUCACAACUCAUGAGUUUACCAAACUCAUGAGUCAUAAGCAUAUUUGUUGAGCCAAAAAUAAUAUCAUCCACAUACACCUGCACAACUAACAAAUCCUUCCCAUUAGUUUUCAAGAAAAGAGUAUUGUCAUUUUACCUCUGGUAUGUCCAUGUUCCAAUAAAAAUUUUGACAGUCUUUCAUACCAAGCUCUUGGAGCUUGUUUCAACCCAUACAAAGCUUUGUCCAGCUUGUAGACAUAGUCUGGAAAUUCCUUGAUUUCAAAUCCUGGGGGUUGCUUAACAUACACUUCUUCCUUGAGAAUGUCAUUCAGAAAUGCACUCUUUGCAUCCAUCUGAUACAAAAUAAACUCCAUGUAAGAAGCAAAAGCAACAAGUAGUAUUAUAGCUUCAAGUCUGGCUAUAGGAGCAAAAGUUUCAUCAAAUUCAAUUCCUUCUUCUUGAUUGUAUCCUUGAACCACCAGUCUUGCCUUGUUUCUUAUGACUGUUCCAUGCUCAUCAACUUUAUUUCUGUACACCCACUUAGUCCCAAUGACUGAUCUAUCUUUUAGAAAAGGAACUAAGUGUCAUACUUUGCUUCUCUCAAAUUGGUUCAAUUCAUCCUGCAUAGCUAUGAUCCAAUCAACAUCAAGCAAUGCCUCAGUUACUUUCUUUGGCUCUAUCUCUGACAGAAAUACCUUGAAUGCACACAUACUUCUCAGUCCAGAUCUUGUGGUGAUACCAGAAUUGAGAUCAGUAAGUAUAUUCUCAAUGGGGUGUGAUCCUUGAUAUUUGUAUUCUUUUGGGAUCAAGCCAAGUGAGCUUCUAGGAUCACUGUUAUUGUUCUGAUGUGAGUCAAUUGAUGGCUCAGUUCCCUCUAUCACUGUGCCUUCAGCUUCAGUUCCCCCUGUGAAAAUGCCUUCAGGUUUGACUGUUUCAGUCGAUGGAACAUGUUGUGAAAGUUGUUCCUCCGUAUCGCUUCCAUCCUGCAGGUUAGUCUUAUCACAGAAUUUAUCAAAAAUCACAUACAUGUUUUCUUCAACACAGUUAGAUCUGUUAUUCAAAACCCUAUAGGCCUUACUAUGAAGUGAAUAACCUAAGAAGAUUCCCUCAUCACUUUUGGCAUCAAAUUUUCCAAGAUUAUCCUUACCAUUAUUGUGUAUGAAAUAUUUGCAGUCAAAAGUUCUAAAGUGAGAAAUGUUAGGCUUUCUACCCUUUAGUAACUUACAGGGAGUCUUGUCUAACAUUGGUUUGAUCAUGCACCUAUUUAUAAUAGAUGUUGCAGUACUCAUUGCCUCAGCCCAUAGGUUUUUGACAACAUUUGUUGCAAGCAUCAUUGUUCUAGCCAUAUCUUUCAAGGUUCUAUUUUUCCAUUCCACCACUCCAUUUUGUUGUGGUGUUCUAGGAGCUGAGAAGUUAUGGUCUAUUCCUUGUGAUGAACAGAAAUCUAAGAAUUUUGCAUUCUCAAAUUCUAUCCCAUGGUCAGAUCUUAUGAAAACUAAUCAAGUGCCCAAUUUUUUUUCCAUUUUCUUGAUGAAAAUUUCAAAGACAUUAAAGGCAUCUUCUUUAGAUGCUAGAAACAAGGUCCAGGUGAACCUGCAAUAAUCAUCAACAAUUACAAAAACAUACCUUUUUCCACCUCUGCUUUGUUGUCUCAUUGGUCCACACAAGUCCAGAUGGACCAAUUCAAGACACUUGGUAGUACUAACAUGGUUUUUUUGACUUAAAUGAAGAUAUUACCUGCUUCCCCCUUACACAAGCACUACAUAACUUUUCUUCCUUAAACUUGGUUUUAGGUAAUCCCAAUACCAUGUCUUUGGAUGAAAGUAUGUUCAGUCAUUUUAGACUUGCAUUCCAAGUCUUCUGUGCCAAAGGAGGGAAUCAGUUUCUAUUGCACUUAGACAGGUCAACUCAGGUCCUGGUAUUGCCAUUAAGUCUGCUUUGUAUACGUUUCUGUAUCUCCUUGCAGUAAGCACAAUUUCUUUAGUGUCCAUCCUUUUGACUUUAACCCCUACAACAGUAAAAAUUAUUUUAUUACCUUUCUCACAUAAUUGUGAGAUGCUCAGCAGGUUAUGCUUUAAGCCUUGCACUAAAUACACAUCCUGCACAACUUUUGAAUUUGAUGUGCCAAUUUUCCCAACUCCAGUAAUGAUUUCCUUUUUUCCAUUUCCAAAAGAAACUCCUCCUCCAUCUAUUUUGGAGAGUGAAAGAAACUUUUUCUUAUCGCCAGUCAUAUGUCUUAAGCAUGCACUAUCUAAGUACCAGUGCUUUUUGGUUCCCUUCACCAUCUCCUGCAAAAGAAAUCAAUGGUUAGAUUUAGGAACCCAGACAAGCUUAGGCCCUAUUUUGUUGGUAAAAGAAUGAAUUCUUUCUAGUCCAUGCAGGAAACACGUAACCUGACCUAUUUCUCUGACCAAUUUUAGUGCUUGUAUUUUUAGUCCGAGAAAAGUUUGUUGCUAGAUUCUGACUUCUAAUUUUGCUGUUGGCAGCCACAGGACAUUCAGUAGUAGGAUGUCCAAGAUUGCCACAGAUAUAGCAUAGAUCUUGUAGAUUAUUAGCCUUUUAAAAAAAAAAAAACUAAACCUACUUUUUCAUUAUGAUUUCUUUCACUCAACUGAUGAACAAUUCUUGAAGAAUUUGUCCAUCUGUUAGCUCUUUCCAAAUCCAGCUUUAACUUGGUAACUUCUUGACUUAGCUUAUUCAUUUUUUCAGUCAAAUCAUGACAUUCUAUUUGUACUUAGUUAACUCAAGUUCAGCCUUUUCUUAUUCUUUACUUAUGGCCUUUUUUCCAUUUUCAGUGAGAGUCAAUUUAAGAACUUCAGACUUAAGAUCAUUAUUUGAAGACUCAAGCAAUGUGACUUGGUUUUUGAGAGUGCAAUUUUCUUUUUCAACAGAAUAUUUACAAACUUUUAGAUCAAUGAAAUCAAAUUUUAGGCUUGCAAGGCUGUUGAAUAGUUCAUCCAUAUCAGAAGUUAAUUCUUGAAGAUUGUCAAUUGAAUCACUCAUCAAGGAAACAAAUCUAGUUUUAGAAAAUAGAUGUAGUUUUUCUUUGAGUUCAAGUAAACUUACCUCAGAAACAUCAUCUUCUUCCUUAAUGUCUGAAUCUCCAAAAUCCAUAAAUGUUGUCUCAUCAACUUCAUCAUCAUUAUCAGAGUCAGAUCCCCUUACAGCUAUCAUGGCAUGUUCUUCUUUUUCCUUUCUCUUGGCCCUUGCUUUUUGUUCCUUUUCAACCCUUUCAUUUCUCCACUCUAUUUCCCAGAGAGGACAUUAUCUGAUCUGAUGAUCAGUCUUUCCACACUUGUAGUAUCCAUUUGUAUUAUCAUUGGAACAUUUUUUGGUACCUGAUCCCUUCUUCUUCCUAAAAAACUUACUGAAAUUCUUGGUUAUGAAGGCAACUUGCUCCUUAUCAAGUUCAAAUUCAUCAUCACUAUCAGAAACUUUUAAAGCUAAGAUCUUCUCAGGGGCUUCUUGUUCUUUGAUUCCUUCAAUUUCCAUUUCAUAAGUCCUUAAGUUCCCUACAAGUUCAUCCAAAGUCAAGCCUUUAAGCUCUUUAUUUGCCUCCCUAAUUGCAGUCACCUUAACAUUCUAUUUUGAUUUAGGUAACACCCUCAGUACCUUUUCAACUUGUUCUUCCUCAGAAAUAACUUUUCCUAACGAAGUCAACUCAUUUGUUAAGGUGGUAAGUCUUGUCAUCAUCUCAUGAAGUGUUUCAUUUUCCUUUAUUUUGAAUGCCUCAUAUUCAGUAAACAGGAAAGCAAUUCUGAAUUUUCUUACUUGGAAAGUACCUUCAUGAGCAUUUACUAGUGCAUCCCAAAUUUGCUUAGCAGUAGUACAGGUGGAUACCAUGUUAUAUUCAGCUGGUCCUAGACCACAAACUAAGAUGUUUUUGGCCUUUGCAUUUUUCUUCAAAGCCAACAAGUCAUCAGGAGUAAAUUCACUUUUUACUUUCUUGACUUGUUCUCCAUCAACAGUCUUCAUUGGAAUAGUGGGGCCAUCAGUAAUCCUGUUCCAUAAUUCAUAGUCUUCAUCUUGAAUGAACAUCUCCAUCCUUGUUUUUCACCAGAUAAAAUAAGAACCAUCAAAGAGUGAAGGUCUAGUGGUUGACUGACCUUCACUGUGACCAGUAGGAGGUGCGGAAUUCAUCAUGUUGAUUCUUUUCUUAGGUGCUAGCCUUAUUUAACACAACCCGCUCUGAUACCACUUGUUAGAGUAUGCGUCCUACUAAUUGCCUAUCUGUGGAACAAGUAAGUAAACGUGGUUCACAGAAGUAAAACUGAACACAGUAUUUUUACGUGAAAAACACCCGGCUCAAGAAAGGUGUAAAAAGUCACGACCUAUACCUCUACAGGAUUUAACCCAACUUCACUAAAAUACUUAAGCCUCAACAAUCAACAAAAUUACAAGACUUCUUGUAACCUAGGAAUUAAAACUUCUAACUCCUAUCACUACAAAAGCACUAAUCUUCCCAAGAUAAGUGUUCUCAAGUCUUCGAGUUCCCAAACUUGAAGACAACAACUCCUAACUCAGUUUAUAGAUUACUGAGACUAGAAUCAAUAACUCAUUACAAUACAAGAACUUAGCUACUACACAGUUUAUGACCUACUAAGUAAGAGACUAGGUUCUUCUUCAAGUAUGUGAACUGAUAUGUUGAUUGUUGAUUCACUUUUCAGUGCAUGCGUGAGUCACUUGCUUUGUGUCACGUUUGUUGUAUUUAAGCCAACCUAUGAUAGAGUCUUUUUUCGUGUUCAAUUGUUUCUUCAGUAGAACUCUAUCAGUUAACUCUUUUCCUUUUGCUGCCGUCUCACCUGUCCUAGAUUUGAUAGGACUCUUUUACUUCAAAUCCUCUUCUUGCUGAACUACUUGAUCAACUUGACUUCUUCAAGACUCCUUGUUUGACUCAGCUUCUGAUGUGAUUUAUGUUAUCUAUGCUUGUCUUGUACGCAGAAUCAUAUCAUUCAAACUCCUGUGCCAGCUAAACUAUUUCACUUGAAUGGACCAACUUCUUCAACUUGUUUCAUUCACAUGUCUAUCAUCAAAAAUCCUCAUGCCUUAACACCUAUGUUGCUCGGACUCUUCAAAAAUGUCAUCCUCGGUGUGUCUGAUCUUUCAAAAAUAGGGUAUUUUUUGGAGAAUUCGAAGCGGAUGUGACAACAUUUUUGGAGAGUCUGAGCAUUUUAGUUGAAAUCAAUAUAUAUUGUUUGCAUAAGACGCUUAACGAAAAUCAUGUUGCGAAAAAUAUCAACCUAUCAACCUGGGGGUGUCAAAUAUAAAGCAGUUUUGAGGAAAAAAGUUGGUUCCUGAAUACUAAAGAUCGCAGCUCGGUGCACUAAGCAAUCCGCAUUCACAAAGGGUACAACGAACGACCGCACCAUUAAGUGAUGUGAUAUAUAGGCAGUCUACCUCGAUGCAAGCAGAUUCCACGGCUUGAACUCGAGAUCUACAGCUCCCACAUACGUAGUCAACUUUGUUGUUGCUCCAAGGCUUCACUUCUGUUUUGAAAUCUAUGGUCAAACGCCUACUAAGUUCUUAAAUUUCAUUUUUCUUAAAUUACCUUUUCAGCUCAUUAAUUUUGAGACACCUAAUUAUUGUAAUUCAUUACUUUUUACCUAGUCUACUAGUUUUUGUUUACAGUGUUUCGGUCACACUAUUUCAUUGUAAUUGUUUUUUACUAGUCUACUACUACUUUUUGUUUACUGUGUUUAGUUCACACUAUUUCAUUGUUGUUACUGUUCUUUUUUUGAAAUUGCAUGCAUUCCUUAUUAGUUGUCAUGUUUUCUUUAUUAUGAACAUAUUUCGUUUUUGGUAACUACUUUGAUUUACGACGCUUGAGCCCCGAGUUCUUCAGUGUUAGGAUCGAGAAUUUCGGAUAGUGCGGAACUAAACAAAGUAAUCGUUUGAAGACGAUAACAAAACGAUAAUAACGAUAAGUUGAAAAAAUAAAGGAGACACAAAUUUAAUGUGGUUCGGUCAACUUGACCUACGUCCACAACCAAAAGGAGAAGCAACUUCACUAAAACACCAACGGAAUAAAAGAAGUACAAAGAUACAAAAGAGAGUAUAAAAUUAGAGUAAUUAAAUACUCUAAUAGCCCAAAUACCCAAAAGAAUAACCUCGCAAAGAUCACUUCAAAGUAGAGGUUCACUCAAAGUAUUUUCCAACACAACUCUCUUACAAAUACUCUCUACAAAGAAGAAAACAAACACAACUAAAUCUUCUUCAAAAGUUGGUGUUCUUCUCUAAAUGGUAUAUUCCAAAGAGGGUGGAAAUGCCUCUAUUUAUAGGCACAAAACAAACCUACGUUGAUGUCAUCAAUGACAUCAACACACUACUUUGCCAACCAAAUUUGACAAGAAAACAACUUGCAUGCAAUGUUGAACUAGCCAACCAAAUUUGACAAGAAACAAAUUGCAUGCAAUGUUGGACCAGCCAAUCAAAUUUGACAAAGUCAAUAAAUGAUCUUGCAAGUGCUUGGUAGCAACUUUGUUUAACCAAGUAUGAAUUCAAGAAACAAACAAAAGGCCACAUUACAUUCAGAAAAUAGUCUCUCUGCCUACACGAGGUAGGGAUAAUCUGGUCAAAAGAGGGAUUACAUCCAACUUUUUUAUGGCUUUCAUUGUGUACAAGGACGUAAAAUAUAAAAGACAACUUUUUUUACUUAUUCCUUGGCAUCUUCUUGUUGUUAAAUUCUACAAGAAUUAUUAUCCUAUAUGACUUGUUGUCUACGUUUCUUUGAAAAGAUCGAGGACUUUGUUUUAUUAAAAUGAAUUUUUGUCACCACAAACGUCACAUUUCAAUGAUAUUCUGUUAUAUAACCUUAGACAAAUGUAAACAACUGUACCAGAAAAUUAUUAAAAUUCUAUUUUACACCAAAGAAUUAUAUAUGGAAAACUUGAAGAAUGAUUGUCAUGUUCUUCUUGUAACAUUUCCAGGUCAAGGUCACAUUAAUCCAUCUCUUCAAUUAGCUAAAAGAUUAGUUAAUUUAGGAAUAAAAGUCACUUUUUCUACUAGCUUAACAGCUUUUCAUCGAAUUUCCAAGCUUCCAAAUAUAGAAGGAUUAAGCUUUGCUCCUUUUUCUGAUGGCUACGAUGGAAAACUUAAUGUGUCAGUUGGUGAAGUCGAUUCGUUCUAUUAUUCAAUAGUGAGUCACGGUUCUGAAUUCGUGACUCAGUUGACAGAAUCCAGGGCGGCUGAGGGCCACCCUUUCAGUCGUAUCAUUUACACGACCCUUAUGGGAUGGGUUGGUAUAGUGGCUAAGGGACUUAAUGUCCCUUCCACAUUUUAUUGGAUCCAACCGGCGGCGGUGUGGGACAUUUAUUAUUAUUGUUUCACUGAGUAUGCUGAUUAUUUCAAGAAUUGUUCUCAUGAUCAAGUCGUAGAGCUUCCAGGAUUGCCUCGGCUAAGUCCUCGCGAUUUUCCCUCGUUUGUGUUUGCUGAUGUGAAUUCUACCUAUGGUUGGGGAGUUAAAUCUAUCAUAGACCAAAUUGAGCUAUUGAAUAGUGAAGGAAAUCCAAGAGUACUUGUGAAUACUUUUGAUGAUUUGGAGUAUAAUGCUUUGAGAGCAUUGAAGAAUUUAGCUAUGGUUGGAGUUGGCCCUUCGAUUCCAUCGGCUUUUCUUGAUGGUCAUGAUCCUUUUGACAAGUCAUUUGGAGCUGAUAUGAGAUCGAGUUCGGAUAGUUACAUGGAUUGGUUGGAUUCGAGGGCAAAUGAAUCAGUUAUUUACAUUGCAUUUGGUAGUUACUCUGAGAUAUCAAGUCAAUCGAUGGAGGAAAUAGCUCAAGGGUUGGUAAAAUGUGGGAGGCCAUUUUUGUGGGUGAUUAGGGAAGGGAAAGAAGGGGAAAAUCAAGAAGAAAAGUUGACAUGUAAAGAGGAAUUGGAAAAACAAGGGAGAAUCGUGCGAUGGUGUUCGCAAGUGGAGGUGUUACAACACCCUUCUUUAGGUUGUUUCUUGACUCACUGUGGUUGGAAUUCGACUUUAGAGAGCCUGUCUUCUGGCGUGCCGAUUGUGGCAUGUCCGCUGUGGACCGACCAAAGUUGCAAUGCUAAGCUCGUUCAAGAUGUUUGGAAGAUUGGCGUCAGAGUGAAUGCGAAUGAAAAUGGUGUCGUCGAAAGAGAUGAGUUUAGGAGGUGUAUAGAGAUCGCGAUGGAAGAUGGAGAGAAAAGGGAGGAGCUUAAGAAGAAUGCCAAGAAAUGGAAGGAUUUAGCUAAGGAAGCUUUGAAGGAAAAUGGUUCAUCAAAUGUAAAUCUCAAAGCUUAUGUUAAUGAGAUUUUACUUGGUCAUUAAGGCCAGUUCAGUGCCCAAAAUAUUUCGCCUUCUUGCAGUAGGGUCCAUUUCAUUGGUAUAAAUAAAAAGAAUAAAUUGAGUAUCGUCCUUGUAAUACGUACCUUAGCCUAUAUGUUACAUGUACGUAGCUAAGUUUUUGUUAUAGUGGUUUGUUUUAGUACUUUGAGAACGAUGGACACAUGAUAAUUUCUGUUGAAAUGUGUUAGGUGUAGAAAACUCAGCUGGGAGAUAUCAUAGUCACACUAAUUUAGAUUAAAAAACACAUUCAAAAAGUUAAGUAAUCACUUGUAAGAGUAUAUGCCCUACUGAUAUCUUAUUUUAUCCUAAUAAUUGCCUAUUAAUGGAACGGGUUAACGAACGCGUUCGUAUCUGGACAAAAUAAAUCACAUGGUGAUGUUUACAUGGAAAACACCCGACUCAAAGAGGUAUAAAAAAUCACGACCUGUACCUCUACGGAUUUAAUUCCAACUCCACUGAAACAACUGAGCCUCAACAAUCAACAAAUUACAAUACUCUUGUAAACUAGGAACUAAACCGUAACUCCUAUUUCUACAAAACAUAAACCUUCCUAAGGUGAGUGUUCUCAAGUGCUCAAGUUCCCCAACUUUAAGACAACAAUCCUACCUCAGUUUAUAAUCCACUGAGACUAGAAUUAAACUGACAAUACAACUAAAAACCAAUCUAAUACAUAAAGUCUAGGACUCCUUAACUCUAGGUACUAGGAACAGGUUCAAUGAUGAUAUCUUCAAGUUGGUGAUUUGCACAGAAAAUUUGUCGAUGUGUUGCUUUCUUUGUAAGUGCAUAAGUGACUAACUGAGUCACUCCCUCGAUAUAAAAACAACUCUGCAAAGAGUCCUUCAAUGUCAUCAGUUUUCUAUCUUCCUUUGGACUCUUGUUGUUUAUUCAAAGUCCCUUUUCAACCCAAUCUCCUUCACUGACUAAAAAUCUUUCUUCAGCUUAUCUUCUUCUUCUUUCGCACGUGAUCAAGAGAGCUUAUCCAUUCCUGUCUUCAAGCGAACUUGUCUGCAUAUCCUAGUGAGAUCUGGCCCCUUUCCUCAUGUGAUUGGACCAGCUUGAGUAACAUGUUUCAUUUACAUGUCAAUCAUCAAAACUUCAUUGAUCUAACAACACUUAUUCGCGUUGAAGCUGCUAAUUAAUAAGAGGCAACAGGACAAUGUAUUUGUACGAAAAUAUUAACGUGGGUACAAAAUUGAUGUUGAAGAUGAAGAUGCUGCAGAGGCUGUUGUGUUAUAUGAAGAAUCAGUGUUGUCUUUAUUCACUGAAUGCUGGAUUUGGGCAUUAGGUGGGAGGGUGGGCAAUGAAGCUUCAAAAUU
This 83148-nucleotide long non-coding RNA is filed under the name Capsicum annuum. Its description in RNAcentral is "long non-coding RNA (CANN_LNC005748)". Lineage: Eukaryota; Viridiplantae; Streptophyta; Magnoliopsida; Solanales; Solanaceae. The record is from RNAcentral.